Molecule: long non-coding RNA, 55232 nt
Filed under: Triticum aestivum (bread wheat)
Lineage: Eukaryota; Viridiplantae; Streptophyta; Magnoliopsida; Poales; Poaceae
Description: long non-coding RNA (TAES_LNC012689)
Source: RNAcentral
UGGCUGUUACAACAAAUAGGAACUAGAUUAGCAAACACAAGAUGGUGAUAUUGAGGUAGCAACUUGUGUAUGUGGGUGUGGGUGUGUGUUCUUUUUCUGUCUUUUUCUUCUUCUUGUGUCGGACCCGAAAGGCGGCAAGAGUUGUGUGUAAAACAGAUGAAGAGAGAAGGGGGAGGAGCUGAGCUGACCCCAUGUGAAGCCCUCGCGCAAUCGCUCUUCACGACGACCCCGACGCAUCUGCGAGCGCUGUCGACAACCGGGAGGCCUGACACGAGCUGAAAGUGGCCUUCAACCUCCACCAGCGCCUGCUCCGCUGUGACCAUCAGCACGGGCGUCGACAUGGCCUCGCGCAGGAGCGGCCCCCGCUGCUGCAACCAACCAAGCAACAAGGUUCAAAGUCAAGCAAGGGAUCAAGAAGAAGAAGCACCAUCAAGAGAGGAGAUGACAGAGACUACAAGAUCAGCAGGAAGAAGCAGCAUCAAGAGAGGACAUGGCCAGAGACUACAAAGAUCAGCAAGAAGAAGCACCUGAUCGGCAGCGUGGGAAGGUGGCUGCUGCUGCUGCUGCUGCUGGGACUGGAGGUAGGCGCGGAGGUCGUCGUAGCUGAGGAGGGAGAAGUUCUCGGGCCACUCGCCGGAGAUGAUGGCGUCGGGGUUCUCGUCGAGCCCGAGCCGGAGCCCGCUCCCGUCCAUGAACGUGGACGCCCGGCACCCGAAGCUCCCUGCGCCGGUGGCUUUGCCCCUUCUGGCCUCAGCCUUGGCCCCUUUGAACAUGGAGCAGCUCUGCAAGGUAUUGAUGCACGCCAUGGAUGCUACUCUUCCUUGUCUCGUGUGGUGGAUGUUGUCUGACUGUGUUCUCUUGCAGAUCCCAGCAGGAGGGCUCCAUUUAUAGGGAGUGAAGCUGGAGGCGCUGGGAUCGCUCCAUGCCCAUUGUCAGUGAGCUGAGCUGGAUGGGCAUGCUUGCAUGGGGAGGGAGGGGCUGGCCCACCGGUGAGUGAGCGACUGGUGCUGCUGAGAUCCCACUUUGACUUGACGACUGAUGAGUGUGCUGACAGAUAAAUAUCUGUGUGAUCAGUGAGCUUCAGCCAAGGUAGGUAGGUAGAAUCAUGGCGGUGAAUUCCUUGGGAGAAAGGGUGGUUGAUCAUGGCGUUUUUAACCCCUGGGCUGGGGUGGUAAUUCAUGGAGGAUCUGGAUGUGCACCUGACUCUGAAUGUGAUGACAAGUUGGAUCUGGACUGGGCGUGUUUUUGUCCCAGCCCGGAAUCUCUGGUCCUCGGAUGUGGAUUGACGUGGAGUUUCCCGGACACGCGGUGCUUCCACUGGGAACGGCGGCCCGCCGGAGCGGGGCCCGGCGGCCGGCGUGGCGGGGCGCGAGUGGCCGGCGGGAUUCCCGUGGGGCCCGGUCACGUGGCACCGGAUAAGGAUGGAGGAGUGCCGACCCUUCACUCCCUCCGGCCGGUACGGUUGGCGGAGAGCCGGAGGUCGACGUUGCAUGCCGUUUUCUUCCGCCAACUCCGGCCAGUGGGUUGGGCUGUCGCCGUGCGGGCCGGGCAUGCUGACCUGUCGGAGCCGGAAGGGACGAUGAAUGAGCCCGCGGUUUCGCGUGAAUGAAUCUGCGGCGGAAGCUGGCGAGAGAGAGAGAGGAUCCAGCGCUCCAAAACGGGGCUGGAAGAUCAUGCUGCGCAGAAUCUCCCAUCCCUGGCAACGAUGCAGCUCGUGGAUUGCGGGCCUUCAAGCCCAAUAACGUGGUGAAGUUGUUAACCCUAGUUGACUCUAGGCAGGCCCAGGCCGCACACGUGGCAAUGGAUAUGGAUCAUCACUCUAUCCAUGUGUUUAUAUGUUGUGGUAUGGAGGUACAUACGAACAUAGCCACCCAUUUAUUUCAAUGCAUGUCCAUGCUUGUUCUGGCUUGCCUCUGUUCCAAGCUAGAGGAACUAUCAACUUAGAGGUAGAUUAUAGUCAAGAAGAAGAUGAUAUAUGUUUUCUCAUCUAUGUUCCUCUGUAUUGUCAUUGUCAGGGUGCAACUUAACAAAACACCAUUUGUUCCAGUUGUGAGAAUUGAUCGAUCGAUUACAAGCCCAGUGAUUGUGAAACAACAACUUUCUUAGUGAACAAACCGAUAAAAUCAAGAUACAUACAUGAUAUAUUGGAUACAGAAAACAACAAGACCCAUUUUUGUUUUAAAAUGAGAACAUGAAGAAGGUAAGGUGGCUAUGGAUAUAUAUGGUGAGUGUUCAUUUCAUGUGAGCAUGCUUGGCUGUGCAACGAGCUGGAGAAGUUUGGGAUCCUGUAGAUGUACCAGAGAGUGUGCUCGGAGGUGUAUCGGGUGAGCGGGUCGCCGUCUGGUCCGCCCUCACCCCUUCACAAUAUCAUCCACCCAUAGGAUGCCACCUUCGGCAUUAUGGGCGUCUUCGCCCAACUUCAUGCACCGUUGGCCUAGAUUCGGGGAGACGACAUGUACCAUGGCCUACAAAAAUAGUAGAGACCCAAAUUACCAUUGGUUCAGAAACAAAUGUUUGUCAAAUUUCAUAAGGCCUUGUACAAUGCGAGGUGCUUAGGGAUGCAUUUAGAGAAAUAAACAAGCAUUUCUUAAGCACUGGUGCUUAAGAAAAACUUAGAUCAUUUUACUAGACACUUUUGCAUUGUACAAGGCCUAAAAAGAACAAAAAAAUGAAAUGGUUGGUCAUAUGGAUACACCCUCAUGUGAAUCAAGGGUGCAGAAGUUGGUUGAGAUAUUUUGCUGGAUUGGGAGGCGCGCCAUCCGGAAGUUACCACUAGUACAUAGCAUGGCUAAUGAAGGAUCGACAUGCGCUAAACGUCAGGGGGAGGGGGCAGGAGUGAGUAGGUGGCUACCAAAUUUAAUUUUUUCUUAGUUGUUUUCAUAGGCUAAUGUGGAAUUGUAAGUUCUCUAGAUAUGCAAGUAGGUGAUACACUCUAUAUGAUGAGUUACAACAUGCUAGCAAGCUACACAAGGCAACAAACAAUCAGGUACUAAGUAAAGCUAGGUUCAGAGACAACCAAAAGUGAUGGAGACGAAGAUGUAAUCUGAAGUUCACACUCUUGGGGGAGUGCUAACCUCCAGCGGAGAGCCGGGAAACAAUGAAUGCUCUCAUAUCAACGAAUGUCUCACCUUAGUUUUCGAGAACCUUGGUCAACGAAUGUCCAAGUUCCCUCUCACUAGGGGUAGCUCUUGGGUGAGCUCCCAACCUUCACAAAUGAGCUCGGGGCACAACCACAUGAAUUAAAAGCUAAGGUGUGCCCGGAUAAUUGACUCUUGAUUUGGUGGAUCAUCGUUUGUGCUUCGGUGUGUUUCGAUGGCGGUGUUUGAUAUCACAUGGUCAAUUUAUUUUAGAUAGAUUCACUUGUUUUUAUCUACCAGUCUUAUUAUCUGAUAGUAAAGUGGUGAAGUAAUAGUUUGAUAACGUGUCUUUCAUGAGUUAUUUGUCCUCGAAUCCCUGAUCUUAAGUCAUCAUGGGGUGAAUUGCUCUUGGCAAUCUUUGAGGUUUACUCGUUUUAUGCAAGUUUGAUCUUCUGUACAUAUGAAUAACGAGCGAAAUGUGAAGCUGCAAGAGAAACCUUCGAUUUAACUACCAAAUUACCGAGACUAUUUACUGUUUGGGUUAUUGUUCAUGUUUGCAUUUUAUCCCUUCAACUAAUAAGGUCAGGUCGUCUAAGGUCGGGGUUUCAACCUCCUUUUUUUGAAGAAAAGGUUGAUCAUUUUGCUAAAAGAGGAGAAAAGGUUGAUCAUUUUGCUAAAAGAGGUUGCUGCUUGGCCGACCUAUUGGGAGCACAAUCAACUUAACAAACAAGAUAUUUGGCCAAUUUCUUUUGAACAAACAAGGUCUUCAACUUUUUAAUUGAGAAUUUAAAGGGUUAUUAUCCAAAUAUUAUUUAUUAAAAUAACAUUUGUAAUGCUUAUAAACUCAAAGAACAAUAUAAAAAUAAUGAAACCCAAUAUAAGAUUUUCAAUAUAUAGUGCAAUACAAAGGAACUCCUAUAUUUGGGACCCGAUAAAUCCCAAACGUUCGGGAUUUGAUAUGGCAAAUAGGACGUUUUUGGUGGAAUUUGUAGUUAUGUGAGUAUGACAACUUUAGUUGGUAAAUAUGGCAAAUCUGUGCUCAUUGGUUUUUUUUCUUCAGAAAAUUACCGUGCGUGUCAACUAAACUUGCCAUCCUCGCGUUACUAAUAUUGUCAUAAAAAUGUUCUAUUUGUCAUGCUCAAAUCCCAAACAUUCUGGAUUUAUCAUUUCCGUAUUUUGUGGUUAAGCCAAUUUAUAGUGUAAUUAUGUUUGACGUUCAGUAUAACUUACUACUACACAGUACUACUUUCUCCGCCCGGAAUUCAGUACUUAUCUAGCACUAGAUACAUCCUUUGUUUUUUGUGGUAAGUAUUAUUUUUCGUUUCCAAAGUUCAUUUUAAAAAGCUUCCAGUUGACUGGGCUGACCUAAGAGCAUUACUAGUAGAACCCUCAAACCCUCAAACCCUUAUAGCAGUUUUAAGGGUUGAGAAGUGCCAGUUUUUGACACUUUUAAGGGUUGAAAAACAGGGGAAAGACUAGAACCCUCAAACCCAACCCGUAAACUGCUUUAAGGGUUGGAUUUGAGGGUUCUAGUCUUUGCCUCAACCCCAACCUUUAAAACUGUCAUUUCAUAUAUCACACAUUUCAUCACAUUUCAUCAUAUGACAUAUCACAAAUUCCAUCACAAUUGACAUAAAACAAUAAUCAUUCUAGUUAUUAUUACAACACCGAAUAAAAUAAUAAUCAUUCAAAUUAUUACAACAAUGUUUGAGCAAAUUACACUAAUUGUUCGAAUCAAAUAGGACAUAGAAAAGUAAAACAAAGAUACAUCAUGGGCCAAUGCGCCGCCCACCCAACUGCCAGUGGUGCUCUACUAGAUCAUCCCGGAGCCGACCAUGAGUGGUUGCAUCCUUGAUCUGACGAUGUGCUUGAAGAAAAGCGUGUAUGCGAGAAGGGUUUCGUUCCGGUUGCACACAGGUACCAACAUUGUCAUAGAAACAGGGGAGGUUUAACCCUCUCUCAUCCUCUAGGAUCAUGUUGUGUAGAAUCACACAACAUUUCAUGAUGUUCAUCAAGGUUUUUUUGUCCCAAAACCGGGCUGGACCACAAACUAUGGCAAACCUUGCUUGCAAAACACCGAAAGCUCUCUCAAUAUCCUUGCGGCCUGCCUCUUGUGCCUUGGUGAAAUGAGCCUCUUUUCUUGUUAAGGGCACCCCAUUUUUCUCCUUGAUGGACUUCACAAGAGUUGCCCAUUCGGGAUAGAUGCCAUCGGUGAGAUAGUAUCCCAUUGAGUACUCAUUGUCCAUGAUUUUGUAGUUGCAAGCUGGAGCAUCCCUAGAAAUUAAUCUUUUGAACAAAGGAGAUCUAUUGAGGAUAUUGAUAUCAUUGAGUGUUCCCGGUAACCCAAAGAAUGCAUACCAAAUCCAUGUGUCCUGAGAUGCUACGGCCUCAAGCACAAUGGUAGCAUCACGGCUUUUACCGCAAUACAUUCCGUGCCAUGCCUUUGGGCAAUUUUUCCACCUCCAGUGCAUGCAAUCAAGACUACCUAGCAUCCCCGGCCAUCCCAUUUUUUCAUUCAUUUCCAUUAAUCUCUUUGUAUCUCCCUCGUUUGGUGCCCGAAGAUAUUGCUCACCGUACAACCGGAUGACCAACUUGGCAAACCUACAGACUGACUCCGUGGUUGUAUCUUGCCCAAUGCGAAGAUACUCGUCGGUAUAAUCCGCGGGUAUGCCAUAAGCGAGUACCCGCAUUGCCGCCAAUAUCUUUUGAUAUGCACUAAACCCCAUGAUACCGGCGGCGGAUCUACAACGUUUGAAGUAAUAUGAGGCGGCCUCACAAUCGGUGACAAUCUUCACAAACAAACUACGCCGCAUUCGGUACCUUCUGCGGAAGAGACGAGGAGGGUAUGUAGGUACCUCGGAGAUGUAGUCUUCCAUCAAAUGUUCGUGUCCGAGAGCGCGGUUCCGGUAGUGGUGACUCGCCCCAUCUUCGACCCUCUCCUCUGAUCCAUCAGCUUCACGCGGUUUUCAAAGGAUUGCACGUCGAUGAGGAGGCUCAUCAUCUCGACGUCGUCGUCUUGCAACAACUCAUCGAUGUCCGAAUCGUCGGAUGACGACCAACCCGACGACUCGGACAACGAGUCCAUGUCGUUGUUGUUCACCUCCAUCUACACAAUACAACAAACAAUAAAUUGUGAGUGCCAACAAUGAAUCAAAAAGGAAAAAAAUAAAUCAAAAAAAAAGAAAGUAUAGUAUACCUGCAGGGAGCUCGGGGCAGCGGCGCGGCUGCCUCUGGCCNNNNNNNNNNNNNNNNNNNNNNNNNNNNNNNNNNNNNNNNNNNNNNNNNNNNNNNNNNNNNNNNNNNNNNNNNNNNNNNNNNNNNNNNNNNNNNNNNNNNNNNNNNNNNNNNNNNNNNNNNNNNNNNNNNNNNNNNNNNNNNNNNNNNNNNNNNNNNNNNNNNNNNNNNNNNNNNNNNNNNNNNNNNNNNNNNNNNNNNNNNNNNNNNNNNNNNNNNNNNNNNNNNNNNNNNNNNNNNNNNNNNNNNNNNNNNNNNNNNNNNNNNNNNNNNNNNNNNNNNNNNNNNNNNNNNNNNNNNNNNNNNNNNNNNNNNNNNNNNNNNNNNNNNNNNNNNNNNNNNNNNNNNNNNNNNNNNNNNNNNNNNNNNNNNNNNNNNNNNNNNNAGGGGCGGGACGCGGCGGCGUCGAGGGGAGGCGGGGGGCCGGCCGGAUUUGGGGCGGGCGACGACCGGCGGCUUGGGAGGAGGAAGCGAGGGAGAAGCAAGGGAGGAAACUUCCCUCCCGCGCGACGGGGGAAGGGAGUGCGGGCUGGGGUCGAGCGCCCCCCUCCAACCCUCACUUCUACGGUUUGAAACUGGGUUUGAGGAUUGGAUCCUUAAUUUUUUUGAGGGUUUGAAGGUUUAGGGGUUCUAGUUUUUGUGUUUUUUUGUUGCAAUCCAUAAAAAAACGGUUUUUUUUGAGGGUUUGAGGGUUUAGGGGUAUAGUAAUGCUCUAAAACAAUUUGGUUCGGCCCUAACAAUUUCGGGGGUUUCUCUCGUCGCCAUCAGCGCCGCCGCCGCCGACCUACUCCUCGUCGCCGGCCGUCACGAUUCGCCUUGCCGCAGGCACGCCCGAUCCCCGAAUUUCUCGACAGGGACAACCGAAGUAUCCUCCCGUCCAUGGAAGCAGCAGCUCCGUCGGCCGCACUGAGGGUCUACGGGCCGAGCAACUUCAGGGACGACGAGCUCGUCUUCAACAGCGGGGAGAUAGUGAGGCUACAGUCGGAGCUUCUUGCCAAGAUCCAGAGCUGCUACGGGCGGGUGAGACAGAUCCCCGGGGUCUUCGACGCCGGCUUCUGCUUCGGCCUCCUGGACCCCGUCUCCAACAUCGUCGCCGGCGCCUCCAUCGCCCGCGCCGCCGUCGAUUCCAAGGAGGAGGAGCGUUCUCUCCCGGGGGCGCGGCUGGGCGAGCCAGAUCUGAUCGGGGACAUGAACCGCCGGUCGUUCCACGGCCUCGUCGCCUUCCUGACCGCCCUCUUCCCCCACCUCACCAACGCCAUGGCCAUCUGGUACCUCAACGAGGCCCGGCUGGAUCCCCUCGUCGCCGCCCACCUCGUCGUCAAUCGCCGCGGCAUGGAGCUGAGCUUCGGCUUCGCGUCCGACACCACCGCGGCCGCCGUCGAGACCGCCCUCAGAUGCGCCGCGGCCUCCGCCCAGCACCCCAAUCCCAGCCAGUUCGCGCUAGGGUGGAAGUUGCUUUCGCAUUCUGAUCUCAACAAUGUCGCCGCCGUGCUUCCAUCGUCGGCCAAUUCCGAUUACUCUGACGAGUCCUUUGCCACUGUCAUUGUCAUGGUAGAUGAUGUUCUGCUCAAGAAACAGCCUCAGCCCACCUAGAGUUUUCAGCCUGGAGAAAUCAUGGGAGCUCGCCUCUGCUCGCCUCCUCAACUUCAGUCCAGACCUGUCUCCCAUCGUCUUGGAGAAGAAGGUGUUUCUUGAGCGGGCAGCCGUCUGGCGUAUGCUUCUCACCACCAUCCAUGGAUACUAUCUUCAGGCACUGGCCAGGCUGCCCAAGGACAAGCUGCAGUCUCACUACCACCACAGCUUGCUUCAGGCCGGGCACUGCUACGGCCCGCUGGAUCCGGUCGGCAACAUCAUCCUCAACACCAUCUGGUAUAACCGAGCCUACCCUCCAACAAAAAAUGUCGCGAUAUCGGCGAUCAGCACCAGAGGCCUUCUGCAGAUUGCUGUCCGGUCCCUAUAUGGUCUUGUAUCCUUUCUGUGCACCCGGUGUGCCACGACACACCUCAGGCCUGACGAAGCAAUUCAACGACUGCAGGCUGUCGGUGCUGAUCUCCGAUUCGCUGAUCCCAACCUCCUCCUUGAUGAUGAUAAAAAUGAUGAUGAUAUGGUGGUAUCUGCCACUGUCGAACAAGCCUACACUGCUGCGGCAGCAGCAGCAAGACACCCUGAGCCUCAUCACCAGGUAGAGCUUCUCAGGCCGUCUAAUUCAGUGUUGCGGAUGGCCUCCGACCGUCUCAAAGGUGAUGCCAUGCUCUCCCAUGAGGAUGCUGAGCACCUCUCUGAAUCCUUGAUGCAUUCCUGCAUGUUAUUAUCAGAACACCAGCAGCAGCCAGAAACAGAGAUCAAGGUUCUAGACCGGUGGGCACACAUAAGGGUGCAACAUCGGAUUAACAAGUUCUGGGACCAGCAUGCUAGGCUCGUCAGCAUGGUGAAAUCUGCAAUGGACUCAUACAGCAAUGAGCUUGGGGUUGGCUUCCUUCUCUUUUAGUCUUUGCUCUCUGUAAAACAUUCCAUGUUUCCAGUUAACCUUUCUUUUGUCUUGCUGAUGAUUCAAGGUACCAAGUUACAAGCUUCAUGUUAUCUGCGGUGCCAAUGAGUAUGUUGAUGGUCCUGUGUGCACAAGGCCUGUCAAAGGCUACUACCGUUGCUCUCACAUCAACUUCCUUGCUGCCCAAUCUGCUGCUACACCUCCGACGCUUUUCUUUGCUGAAUGUGCCAAUGAUGGCACCGAAGUGCGCGUGUGCUGCCCUGUGCGUGUGCUGCCUCCCGGCACUGGUAUGCGGCUGUUUUGCCCUUGCUAUUAAUGUUUUCCAUCAAUCAGAUAUAUAAUUCCCUGUCUUGUAUCAAGCUGAUAAGUUAGGCAGGUACGUAAACUACGAGUAAUGAUUCAUUCUGCACCAGAGGCGGAAGAAUUGUCCUGACAGAUUACUGAACACAAUGGAUAAUUACUGAAGUAAGUAGGUAGAAGUUUUUAAAAAUCAAGAAAAUGCCAAAAGGCAAGAUGUCUAACCAAAAAUAGCACCAACUCUCUGUUUUCACAUGCCGGAGGCUCUGGAGGUUCAAAACAGAGCAAACCUAAUAAUGGAAUAGCAGACACUCAGUUCAGCUGUCAAGUUCAGUACUAGUAGAUAAUUAUAAAAGGUGAAAACCAAGCUUAAGCACCCGAGCUAUUGCCGUGGUCCUAUUUUUGACGGAAGAAAAUAAUCAUGUUCAUAUUCAUACUAGGUGAUCCCAUUGGGAUCUGUAAGACAAUGCCAACUGUAAAAUCUGAAGUAUCCUUUCUUUCUGAAGACGGAUUAUCACUACUGCACCCUAUGUGAACUUUAUUUCUAGAAGAUUCAAUUUCUUGAGGAAAGCCAUCGUCAAGCACUGUAUUAUGUACACACCAUAGGUAUUAUAAGUCGUCAUCUCUAUAAAAGUAUAAAGUACUGUUAUGAGUGACACCACAUGUUUUAGCUCAUCCUCUGUACAGCAUGAGGUUUCUGAUUCAGUCACCAAGCAGCAUAGGCUUCUUUACCACCUUCAGAAUACACCUUUAACAAAGUGUUCAAUGAACUCUGCAAGUGUAAGGAUAUUUCAGUCUUAUAGGACGACAAUAUUAGCAGCUCUAUCAUCAUCCAGUGAACGCUGCUACCCACUCCCCAACCAUCUACGCCGCUCACGGCUCACCCCUUGCUCCCCGAGCGCCAUGAAUUACGUACAAAGAUUUUCUGACACGAACAGUGUAGAAAGGCUUCCUGAUUUGCUCCCUUAUCGAUAACUAAUUACUGUGCAUGAAUGUAUAAGUAAAUUUCUGUUGACUCUACCAUCCAUCCAAUACUAACUAUAAAUAACAUGAUGUCUCUGUAUAUUUGCAUGGCAGAACAAGUCCGUUGCAUGUACUGUGAGUACCAUGGGAGUAGGAUUGUACACCCAACAAGGGACAGCUUCCGUGGGCGCGACAUCGAGUUUGAGAAGAUGCUGUGUGGAGAAGGAGUGUAUUCAAAGUCAUUCACCAACAAUGGGAUCAUCGCACACAGCGGCGAGGCAAGUCGCUGUGCAGGUGCUGUGGUUGACGACUGCAUCUACGACGUCUACCGACUUGACGAUACGCCUAUAAAGGCAGAGGACUUUGUACGCAUGUCAGAUGCUAAUGUGGUGUUUGACUGAUCGAAGAGCUCGUGCCAUUUGCCAAUACAAGCAGCAAAGCUGAUGUCUCUGUAUGUUUGCAUGGCAGAGCAAGUCCGUUGCUUGUACCGCAAGUACGACGGCAGCAGAAUUGUGCACCCAUCAGGGGAGAGUUUGCACGGGCGCAACAUCGAGUUCAAGAAGAUGCAACAAUAAGAUCAUCGCACACAGUCACGAGACAAGUGGCUGCGUGGGUACGUGGACGGCGACUGCAUCUAUGAUGUCUACCGCCUUGACGAUACACCUAUAAAGGCAGAGGACUUUGUGCGUAUGUCAGAUGCUAAUGUGCUGUUUGACUUUGAAGAGCUCGUGCCAUUUGCCAAUGCAAGCAGCAAAGCUGAGUUGCAUGCAUGAUGAUGCCAGCCUUUGUAUUUGCUAGCUAGCUAGAGAGACAGAGAAAUUUAACCACCACUUUAGUUAGUGCCAUUGCGAAAUGCUGCUUGCAGUUCAUCAAGGGAUGGAUGCCUUGUGUUGUUUUCGUAUCAGGGUUCCCAUUUCUUUGCUGAGAUAUUGGUCCAAGAAAGAUGCAUCGGUCUUUUGCUGUCAUGCAAACUUUAUGUUACUCACUGGCUAUAUACUGAUAUCAUUACUGUCAAAAAAAGGUCUUAUAUUAAGUUACCGAGGGAGUACAUGCUUUAUGUUCAUCUGCAGUACUAUACUAUGCAAUUUAAUUGGAGUGUCGGAUUCAUGGAGACGUUGCAAGUUCUUGUCAAGGUAAAGAAACGAAAAGCAGAGAAAGUUCAUGUCUCAAGUUUGGUAUCUAGCUGGUGCGCUCACUUAAGCUCUUGUGAGCCAUAAGACCUCUUACCACGGCAAGUCCCUGCGAAAUAAUUUUGGUAGAGAGAAAAAGUGGCGCGCAACUGUCUUUAGAGAAGAGAAGCACGAGUGGGCGACCCGAUCUUUACGGUGUAGGAUUGAUGAAUGAAGGGAUAAUUGUCGCUCCCUCUUCAUGGCGUAGGAUCGAUGAAUGGAGGGAUAACUAUCGCCCCCUCUUCACGACGUAGGAUCGAUGAACAGAGGGAUGACUAGUUGCAAGCUGCCAAAAAAAAAAGAGAUGGUGGCCCAACGAGGAGGAUGCCAACCAUAGCAUGCAAUCCGAGUUCAAGACGUGGAGCACGGGAUUGCUGCAAUCUUUGCAAGGGAAAUCACGAACACUAACCCACACAACCACCCUUAAGUUGUGGAGCACAAAUUAUGAGCAACUCCACAUGGGAUCACGAGAAUAAGGGUAGCAAUAAGUCUCCAAUCUCAUGAUGAGUCUUAUGUCUUUGUCUAUUAAUAGAAAUACCGAAAGUUCUCUACGAAUGGAUGCACUAAUGUAUUUAUAUUGGGGACACACCUCCAAUAUGUGUGAAAGCAAACUAACUUCGAGAACCAAAAUAGUGUGAAAACCGAACUAGCUUAGGUGUGAAACCAAACCAGCUUAGGGAAUUGAUGAGGUAACUUCUAAAAUUCUCUUGUAAGGUGUACUUAGCUUAUUUCAUCAUCAAAUAUUGUUUCGUUAGAGUCAGGACAUUAUUUUUUAGCAGCAAACUUGUCCCCCCCUAACUCCUAGCUAUGUUUAUUCAAAAUAAAACAUUGUUUCUUCAUGGGCUGAGAUGUUGUGGGCCCUCUUAGACAUUUCACGUGAUCAUGUAUUUGCUUCGUGUGACUUCUUGUGAUUCAUCUAUCGAUGAUUGGUGUAGUGUGAAUGGUUGUGAUAUCAUCCUCAUCAUCUGUCUCUUGAGAAGGAGUUGUCCUCAAUUCUAAAGGGCCAAAGUAUAAGAAAAGAUCAAAGACGUUGAAGGUUGGGCUAACACGAUAAUCUUCUAGAAGAUCAAUCUUGUAGGCAUUGUCAUUUAUCUUCUCAAGCACCUUGAAUAGGUCAUCACUAUGAGCGACAACUUGCACUUGCGUUGCUUAGAAAAACGGACCUUCAGUAGAUGUAUCCUUACCAAAUUUCAUUGCUCAACAACAUCCUCUUCCCUUUGCCUUCUCAUGAAGUUGCUUGACAAAAUCAACAUCCUUACUUGCAAAGUCGGUUCGUUCCAAAAACAGGAAAUGGAAAAAGAUCAACAAUAGGUUUUAACCCAUAAACAAGCUCAAAAGGGUAAAAAUUAGUGGUUGAAUUUACCGCCAUGUUAUAUGAUGGAAAUAUGCCCUAGAGGCAAUAAUAAAAUGGUUAUUAUUAUAUUUACUUAAUCAUGAUAAAUGUUUAUUAUUCAUGCUAGAAUUGUAUUGACCGGAAACUUAAAUACAUGUGUGGAUACAUAAACAAAUACCGUGUCCCUAGUGAGCCUCUACUAGACUAGCUCGUUGAUCAAAGAUGGUUAAGGUUUCCUAACCAUAGACAUGAGUUGUCCUUUGAUAACGGGAUCACAUCAUUAGGAGAAUGAUGUGAUGGACAAGACCCAAUCGUUAGCAUAGCAUAUGAUCGUUGAGUUUAUUGCUACUGCUUUCUUAAUGUCAAAUACAUGUUUCUUCGACCAUGAGAUCAUGCAACUCCCGGAUACCGGAGGAAUACCUUGUGUGCUAUCAAACGUCACAACGUAACUGGGUGAUCAUAAAGAUGCUCUACAGGUAUCUCUGAAGAUGUUUGUUGGGUUGGCAUGGAUCGAGACUGAGAUUUGUCACUCCGUGUGACGGAGAGGUAUCUCUGGGUCCUCUCGCUAAUACAUCAUCACAAGAAGCUUGCAAGCAAAGUGACCAAGGAGUUAGUUACAAGAUGAUGUAUUAUGGAAUGAGUAAAGAGACUUGCCGGUAACAAGAUUAAACUAGGUAUAGAGAUACCGACGAUCGAAUCUCGGGCAAGUAACAUACCGACAGACAAAGGGAAUUAUGUAUGUUGUCAUAAAGGUUCAACCGAUAAAAGUUCUUCGUGGAAUAUGUAGGAACUAAUAUGGGCAUCCAGGUCCCGCUAUUGGUUAUUGAUCAGAGAGGUGUCUCGGUCAUGAAUACAUAAUACCUGAACCCGCAGGGUCGCAAGCUUAACAUUCGUUGACGCUAGAGUAGUAUUGGGAUAUUUGAUGAGUGGUAACCAAAUGUUGUUCGGAGUCCCGAAUGAGAUCCCGGACGUCCCGAGGAGUCUAGGAGUGGUCGAGAGGUAAAGAUUUAUACAUGUGAAUUCAUAUUUUGGGUUCCAAAAAAGGUGCAAUUUUUUCGGUAUUGUACGGGAAAGCUUCCAGAAGGUUCCAGAGGAAUCUGGAGGGGUUCGGAAGUCCACAAGUGGGUCCACCACGACCCAAGGGAUAGCAUGGGCUGCGGGGAGGCAUCCUGGCCUUAUUGUGCUCGGCGCACCAAGUCCUCAAAAGCCCAUGUGGCAAGGGAAGGUAAAAAGGGAAGGAGUCCUAGUAGGAAUAGGAUUGGACUUGGAGUCCAAGUCCUCUCCCCCUUAGCUGCACCCUAGGGCUUGGAGGGGCUGUUUCCCACGCCCCUCCAUCUAUAUACGGAGGAGAGGGGGUGCCCCAAGUGAACACACCAAGCCCUUGGCGCCCUCUCUCUCACGUUACUCCGUAGUUCCACCGCCUCGUCCUGACGGUGAUUAGCGAAGCGCUGUCGGUGCUCCACCACCACCAUCACCACCACACCAUCGUGUUGGUUGUGAUCCCAUCUACUUCUCCUCUCCCGCUUGCUGAUCAAGAAGGAGGAUACAUCAUCAAGCCUCAUACGUCUCCAUCGUAUCUACUUUUCCAAACUCUUUUGCCCUUGUUUUGGACUCUAAUUUGCACGAUUUGAAUGGAACUAACCCAGAUUGACGCUAUUUUCAAGAGAAUUGCCAUGGUGUUAUUUUUGUGCAGAAAUAAAAGUUCUUGGAAUGACCUGAAAAUUCACGGAGAAUAUUUUUGGAAUCAAUAAAAAAUAUUGGCAAAAGAAUCAACCGAGGGGGACCCACCACCUGUCCACAAGGGUGGGGGCGUGCCCUACCCCCCUGGGCACGCCCCCUGGCUUGUGGGUCCCACAAAGCUCCACCGGACUCAACUCCAACUCCAUAUAUUCAUAUUCAGGGAGAAAAAAAAUGAUGGAGAAGGACUCAUCGUGUUUUAUGAUACGGAGCCGCCGACACCUCCUGUUUUUCCUCGGGAGGGCAGAUCUGGAGUCCGUUUUGGGCUCCGGAGAGGGGAAAUCGUCGCCAUUGUGAUCAUCAACCAUCCUCCAUCACGAAUUUCAAGAUUCUCACCACCGCGCAUGAGUAAUUCCAUCGUAGGCUUGCUGGACGGUGAUGGGUUGGAUGAGAUUUAUCAUGUAAUCGAGUUAGUUUUGUUAGGGUUUGAUCCCUAGUAUCCACUAUGUUCUGAGAUUGAUGUUGCUAUGACUUUGCUAUGCUUAAUGCUUGUCACUAGGGAUCAAGUGCCAUGAUUUCGGAUCUGAACCUAUUAUGUUUUCACGAAUAUAUUUGUGUUCUGCAUCCUAUCUUGCAAGUUAUAGUCACCUACUACGUGUUAUGAUCCGGCAACCCCGGAGUGACAAUAGUCGGGACACUUCCCAGUGAUGACCGUAGUUUGAGGAGUUCAUGUAUUCACUAAGUGCUAAUGCUUUGGUUCACGUUCUCUACUAAAAGGAUGCCUUAAUAUCCCUUAGUUUCCAAUAGGACCCCGCUGCCAUGGGAGGGUAGGACAAAAGAUGUCAUGCAAGUUCUUUUCCAUAAGCACGUAUGACUAUAUUCGGAAUACAUGCCUACAAUAUAUUGAUGAAUUGGAGCUAGUUCUGUGUCACCCUAGGUUAUAACUAUUGCAUGAUGACUGCCAUCCGACAUAAUUAUCCAUCAUUGAUCCAUUGCGUACGAGUUUGUUUCAUAUUGAUCUUUGCUAGUUACUUUCCCGUUGCUGAUGACCCACAAGUGUAUGGGGUCAAUUGUAGCCCUUUCGAUAAGUAAGAGUGUUGAAGCCAACGAGGAGCAGAAGGAAAUGACAAGUGGUUUUCAGCAAGGUAAUGUCUGCAAGUGCUAAAAUUAUAAGUAGCAGAGUAGUUUGGUAGCAAGAUAAUUUGUAACGAUCAAGUAACAAUAGUAGUAACAAAAGUACAGCAAGGUAGCGCAAUCCUUUUGAGGCAAAGGAUAUGCCAAAACAGUUUCUUACGAUAAGCAAAGUGUUCUUGAGGGUACACGGGAAUUCAUCUAGUCACUUUCAUCAUGUUGGCUUAAUUCGUGUUUGGUACUUUGAUAAUUUGAUAUGUGGGUGGACCGGUGCUUAGGUGCUACUACUUGAACAAACCUCCUACUUAUGAUUAACCCUCUCGCAAGCAUCCAACUACGAGAAAAGUAUUAAGAAUAAAUUCUAACCAUAGCAUUAAACUUUUGGAUCCAAUUGGUCCCUUACGGAAUAGCGCAUAAACUGGGGUUUAAGCUUCUGUCACUCUCGCAACCCACCAUCUAAUAACUACUCCACAAUGCAUUCCCUUAGGCCCAAAUAUGGUGAAGUGUCAUGUAGUCGACGUUCACAUGACACCACUAAGAGAAUGGCAACAUACAUACCAUCAAAAUAUCGAACACAUAUCAAGUUCACAUGAUUACUUGCAACAUGGUUUCUCCCGUGACCUCAAGAACGAAAGUAACUACUCAAAAAUGAUAAACAUGCUCAAGAAGAGGGGUAUUUAAUAGCAUAAUGGAUCUGAAAAUACAAUCUUCCACCAAAUAAACCAUAUAGUAAUCAACUACAAGAUGUAAUCAACACUACUAGUCACCCACAAUCACCAAUCUAUAGUUUUGAUACAAAGAUUGAACACAAGAGAUGAACUAGGGUUUGAGAGGAGUUGGUGUUGUGAAGAUGUUGAUGAAGAUAGCCCUCCCCAAGAUGGGAGAGUUGUUGGUGAUGAUGAUGACGAUGAUUUCCCCCUCCGAGAGGGAAGUUCCCCCGGUGGAAUCGCUCCACCGGAGGGCAAAAGUGCUCCUGCCCGAGUUCCGCCUUGAGGCAGCGGCGCUUCGUCCCGAAUGUCCUCCCCUUAUUUUUGUAGGUCAAAAUGACUUAUAUACCAGAAGAUGGGCACCAGAGGUGGGCCGAGGAGGGCAGCACCCACCAGGGCGCGCUUGGGCCUCCUAGCGCGCCCAAGUGGGUUGUGCCCACCUGGUGGCCCUCUUCUGGUACUUAUUUGCUCCAGUGUUCCUUAAAUAUUCCAUAAAAAAUCCUCAGGGAGUUUCAGCUCAUUUGGUGUUGUGCAGAAUAGGUAGCUUGACGUAGCUUUUUCAGGUCCAGAUUUCCAGCUGCCAAAAUUCUCCCCCUUGGUGCAUACCUUUCAUAUUAUGAGAGAAAAGGCAUUAUAAUUACUUCAAAAAGCAUUAUUAUACAAUAAAAAAACAUAAAUAGCAGUAGAAAAACAUGAUGCAAAAUGGAAGUACCAACUCCCCCAAGCUUAGACCUCGCUUGUCCUCAAGUGAAAACCGAAGUCGAAAAACAUGUCCACAUGCUUAGAGAGAGAGAUGUGUCGAUAAAACAAAAAUACGGACAUAGCAGCAUCAUGUGACUUAUUAUAACAACAACAAACCUUAAUAUAAAACUUUUAUCAUAGAACUUUUAUCAUAGACUUCUCAUGAACAAGUGACAAUUCAUCACAACAUCUAUUGUAUAAUUAAGACAAGAGACAUAUAAGCCACCACGUUCACCCACAUAUACUAAUAUAAUUUACACCGUUCGAUUAGAAUAAUAAUGGCUGAGAUUUAAAGUUUUUACGUAACAUGCUAACAUGUAUGUACCAAUAAUAUUGAACGCUUAUGUGUUGUCACGUGGAUGCAUAGAUGGCUAGCAUCAAUAGUUUGGGUCAGGUUCGAGAUUCAUGGAUUCACUGCUUGAUACAAUUCAUGGUACGAUAUAGAAAAACAAAGGAAAGAGUGAUCGAGAAGGAAAGGGAAACGUAAUCAAUGCAACCACACCAAUAUUCAAAAAAAAAAACAUCCAGAGAUACAAUUCGUGGCACGAGAAAAGCAAAGGGCGAUAAAAAAGGAAACAGAAACGUAAUCAAAGCCACCACCACGUCAACAGUCCAUCAAAAACACGUCUGUAACAUAUAGAUUUUUUUUAGACAGUAACUCACGGGAGAUGCCAAUUCAAUCGACAACAAAAAAAAAAACCUCACGGGAGAUAAUAUGCAUCUUAAUCUUUCUCUCACAUACGCCGGUCUCGCAUCACGAGCGGUAGCAGCCUCACUGUUUUCUCUCCCUAUAUCGAGAGCAUAAUCCUGUAGGUCGGAGGUGCCGACUACUGCAUGGUAGGACUAGGUCACGCCUCCAGUCAGGAUAGAUCUGCGCAAAAAAGGUCAUGGACUGAAAGAACUCAACGUGGACUUGAGAGGAUAAGACUACAUGGGCACAUGACAUCCAUGUCCCACAAGAUUCAAGAGUAUUGGCCGCCGUGGUCAACAGUCCAAAACCUGAUGCAGCUCACCAGCGUUUUUACUCUGAAGGAGAUCUGCAGGCUCCUGACAUUCCGAUGGUAUUAUUCCAAUUAGAUUCUCUUCUUUGAUUACCAAUGAUCAUAGCCUAUACAUCAGAUUUCAGGCAGGGUUCUAUCGAUGAUCAUAUCCUCCAUAUCAGAGUUGUGGCUGGGAUGCAGGGUUCUAUUGGCUGGAUUCGUAAUUACUUGCAUGCAUACCCUAUGCCUUAUUCUUUACCAAGGACAAGGAGGAUGAGAAUUUCUCCUGGAGCAUCUAUUCCUUGGCAUUGCCUUCAUAGGAAUCAGAGCAUGUAUGUAGCAAGGUAGAGUGAUCAACUGUCAAAGAUACUAAAUAUUUCCUUCAAAAAAGAAACUAUAGCAAGUGUUCUACACGAGCCACAAUUCCAUGACAUUGCCUUCAUAGAGUCAGCAUAUGUACCCUUAUUUGCACCUAUAAAUAUGUUGAUUAUUCAUCUUGGUUUAAUUGUUUUGUUAUGAGAACAUGAAAAACAAUUGAGGAUGAUUCUAAUUUGUAUGUACAUGUUGAUUUCAGAGGCUGUUCUCGACAGUAAAAUUGUUGUUCUACUACUGGAGUUAGUACCAAGUCUACAUCGGAACACUUGAAAGUUAACUAUUGGAGGUUAUAUUUCUUCUUCCCAGUUUUCUAUAGGUCCUUUAUAUAUGUAACCUUGAAUUUUCUGUAGUAUGCCAACACGUUCAGAGCAGUGUUCGAGCUAUCGACAAAAUAUAUUUGUUUAUUGGUAAGCUCAAGAGAAAGGCACGACAAACCAAGCCGCGAGGAGUUUUGUGGUUGUAGUAUCAGUCCAUAAUUAAAGGAGUUUCUGUUCCAUACACAUAUACAGGUUUUUGUAUUGUAAAGCUGUUACUGAGAUGGGAGAUUCAAGACGAUCUAUGGAAAACAAUAGGAAGUUUAAAUAAAGUGCAGCGUGCAAAUCACGAGACUAAAGAGCAGCCUAUUACUUUAGUGGAGAAACUUUGAUCUGAUCUUAAGUUGUUAUGUAUGCACUGUGACAAAUGAUAUUUCGAAAUUCUACUAUAUUGGACUAUAGACUACAGCCCAUUCGAACAAUUAUAUUUACAAAAAAUAUGUUGAUGCUUUAAUAUUGUCUGAUUAUAGUUUUGCCAUUUAAAAGUUUUUAAUAAAGUAUAGUGCUUCUAUAACUUCUGCAUAUUACCUAACCAUGUAGUCAUUUAAUUUACCCAUUAGUCCAUCCAUGCAUUAGCUAUAUUGGCGAUUAUUUUAAUUGCCUAGAAACAAUUGUUGCAAGAUUUUAGGGUAUCUAACACAUGUGUAAGAUCCAUCAACUUUUGCUGCUACUAAUUAUUUGGUUCUAAUAACCAUCUUUACUACUUUCAGUGAUAUAUCUACAUGGAAUUUGUGAUUUCCUUGAAGAGCAGACAACUACAGUAGAUGGCAAAAUGAUUCAUGCUGGAGGAAGCUUAUUAAUACAAAUACUAUUCAAUGCAGUGAUGCUUUUUUUGUCAGUUAGAGUUAAUAUUAAUUUCCUGUAUUCUUACCAUGAAACAUCCUAUUAGUUCCCAUUAUAAAUUGAAGUGCUAUUAAAAACAUCUUUACAUUCUGCAGAAAAUUUCAUAUGAAAAAGACUUUCUGUAUGUUAGAUAUGCUUGCCUGGAGGCUAUUUAUAUGGACUAAUUUUAUAUCUUUUUCCAUAAGGUAAUGGUUUGUUCAGCUAAAAAUUUGAUAGCAAGGUGCAUAUAUGGAAAGUGAUUAUUGUUUCAGGUUAUUGAGUGUGCCAUUCUUAAUAUAGCAAGGUGCAUAUAUUGAUAGCAAGAUGUUUCUAUAUAGUCCAAAUGAUUAGGAUGUUUCAUAAAUUUCUAUACAUAAUAAGAUUGUGAAGUGGAACCAGUACGUCAUGAUUCUUAUGUCAAUUUCAUAAACGGCCUUAAUAAGCCUUUUUUAUAUUUAUCUUAACAUCUUAUCAGAACCCUUAGCAGAAGAUAUGGGUACAUUUACUCCCUAUGUGAUUCCUUCAAAGUUGAAAAUCGUAACAUUUGUCAUGUUCUGCCCUGUGUUGCUUUUAAAAGAAAAUGCAAAUCUUACCUCUGUAGUAAAAGUAGUGAUCUUACCAACAUUUCGAAUCACUCGCUGGGACCUUUACCACUGUCUAUGUGCUUUGCUUUUCUAUAUGGCUUGGUGAACCAAGAAAAUGGUUGGAGGGAUGUACGGAUAAAAAAGUAUAAUCUAUGGAGAUAUUAGAAGUGGUUUCUAUAAGGUAAUCGUUUUUUCAGCAAGAAAUAGGUUAGCAAAGUGAAUAUAUGAACAAGGCAAAUCAUGGUUUUUUCACCCACAGCAGGUGAGCAAAUCAUUAUCUAUUAUUUAAUUAAAACAUAAAACAAACAAGCCGUCAUGUUCGUCCUUACCGAUUAUAAACAAGUAUAAAUAUUAUUGUGAACGAAGAGCUCAACAUGUCAUGUACUUAAAGAUAUAUAAUUGCGAUGUACCAAUUGAAGCAAAAGUAGUACAAUAAUCGAUGGGAUAGAAUAUUAAAAAUUCUAACUAGAGGCCAGCGGUGAAAGGACAACCAAAAUAAAUGAUAAAUCAAAACUUUUUUUUUGAGUAGAAAAGUGUAAGCAAUAUUGAAGUCGUUGAUACGAAGUUAUAUAAGUUUUAAAACAUAAGUAAUUACUUCAAACAUAAAUAAAUAGAAUCCAAGUCUAGCCACGCAAAUGCGCGGGUAACAUCGCUAGUUGAAGUAUAAAGCAUAAACUCUAUUGGAAACCAACAAACUAUGUUCUCAGUCAACUUUGCAACUACAAUUCAUCAUCUUUUCAGGAAGGGUCGUGUAUCAGAGCCUUUAGACAAGUCCACAUACUCAACCAUCGUUUAGUCUUCUAUGAUUGCUAACACUCACCGCGUAGACAUGAACAAAACAUUUCAACCGGACACAAAGAAAGUUAGGGGCUUAUAGCUUCGCCUCCCAACACACUCACCUCAAGGGUGAUGUCAACAAUAAUAACUUAUGCCACCCAUAUUCAACUGGACAUAUGUGCCUAGAUCUUUCCUCACCACAUGAUGCUUGCCAAAGGAUAAAAAUAAAAGGAAUAGAGAGAAAAACUUUGACUCUUGCAUAAAAGUAAACACAUGAAAGUAAAAGAUAGGCCCUUCGUAGAGGGAAGCAGAGGUUGCCAUGCACUUUUUGUUUGUAUGCUCAACCCCGUAGUGCAAGAGAACGUCACAUUAUAUUGCCCCUUGUGAUGGCAACCUUUAUUAUGCAGUCUGUCGCUUUUAUUCUUCACCAUCACAAGUUCAUACAACGCUCAAUUUCCCCUUACACUAAAUGAUCUCACAUUUUUAUAAGCAAUUUUUAUUGCCCUUUUUGCACCGAUGACAACUUACUUGAAGGAUCUUACUCAAUCCAUAGGUAGGCAUGGUGGACUCUCAAACAAUAUAGGGUUUAAGGGUUUUGGAUGCACAAGUAGUAUCUCUACUUAGUGCAGAAUUUUUGGCUAGCAAAGAUAGGGGCAAGCACCACAUGUUGAAGGAUUUAUGACAAUAUGACUUCUACGUGAAUAUGAACAAACAUAAAUCAUUAAGUUGUCUUCCUUGUCCAACGUCAACAAUUUUGGCGUAUAAUAUUUUGAUGGGUGCUCACAAUCACAAAAGAUUUCCAUGAUAAUAUAUUUAUAUGUGAAUCUUCUCUUCCCUUAUUAAUUCUUUCAUGUGUUGCAUCAUUGACCAAUGCUAUGUUUGUCAAUUUACAAUAAAAGUUUCUACUUAUACUUUUCCUUGUGUAAUGUCAUCACUUACCAUAAGAUUAGCAUAUGAUCUUUCUUUUUAUUUUCUUUCUUUUUAUUGCAGCUAGAAAGUAAAGAAGGCAAAACUCAAACUAAACUUUAUUAUAUCUCGCACACGAUUACUAGGAUUGAUCACCAGCAAACUCACAAAAAGCAAGGAUUGAACUAAACUUUUAUUCAUCUAAAAGCAAAAGAUAACUGUUGAUCGAACAAAGAAAAUUAAGGCAAAAGAUAGUGGAGAUUGAUACGAUACCGGGGCACCUCCCCCAAGCUUGGCGAAAGCCAAUGGGAGUUCCCAUACCCAAUACUUAGUUUUCUUUUGGUGGUGAUGAAGAAGACGGUGGUGAUGAACUAGACAAUUUCUUAUCCUCGGGUUUCUACGGAAGAGGCUCAUCAUCAUAGGAGGAGGAGUGAGUCUCCCGGAUCCUGCAACUAGCAGCCAAACUCAUAUCUUUAAACCUGGCCUCGUACUCAAAGACAUGGGUUUGAAGAUCGUGGAUCUGGCUAUGGAGGAAGUUGAUUUCGUUGAGGGAGAAGAUGAUGUCCUUUAUGGGCUUGCCAUCCACCUUAAGAUCACGGGUGUAGUCCACGAUCAUGAGGUGAUUGGCAUUGAGUCCACGCUCCACAAUCCCCUUGCACUUGAAGAUGUCCUGCUCCAUGGCUCCAAGCCUGGCCUCCAUGGAUCCAGCCCCCCUGGGUCCUUGCACAUCGCGGAUGUGCAGCACCCCAUCACGCAUCUGGAUAGCUUGAGGGUGGUGCAUCACCUCCCGCAGAUAUGGGUCGAUGACGUUGUCGAAGAACUUGUCCUUGGAGGAGCUUGAAGAGGCCAUGGUGGAUUGGAUCUGACAGAAAACAACAAGAAAAGAAAACAGGAGAUUUCUCCGCGAUAGGGAGGUUAACAGGUUCGGGAGGUAUAUAUAGAACUUUUAUCUUGGGGAACAAGCAGAACAAAAGAAAAAUGAAGAUUGUAAAGUACCCGAGGUGGGCACAACCCACCUGGGCGUGCCAGGCAAGCCUGGCGCUGAUAACCCACAAGUAUUAGGGGAUCACAACAGUUUUCGAGGGUAGAGUAUUCAACCCAAAUGUAUUGAUUCGACACAAGGGAGCCAAAGAAUAUUCUCAAGUACUAACAGCAGAGUUGUCAAUUCAACCACACUUGAAAGACUUAAUAUUUGCAGCAAAGAAUGUAGUAGCAAAGUAGUAUGGGAGUAAUGGUAACGGUGGCAAAAGUAACAGUAGCCGUUUUGUAGCAAUUGUAACAGUGGUAACGGAGAAGUAACUAAGCAAGGCUCAAUAUUUGAAAAGCUCGUAGGCAAUGGAUCAAUGAUGGAUAAUUAUGUCAGAUGCAAUUCAUCAUGCAACAGUUAUAACAUAGGGUGACACAGAACUAGCUCCAGUUCAUCAAUGUAAUGUAGGCAUGUAUUGCAAAUAUAGUCAUACGUGCUUAUGGAAAAGAACUUGCAUGGCAUCUUUUGUCCUACCCUCCAGUGGCAGCGGGGUCCUAUUGGAAACUAAGGGAUAUUAAGGCCUCCUUUUAAUAGAGUACCGGACCAAAGCAUUAGCACUUAGUGAAUACACGAACUCCUCAAACUACGGUCAUCACCGGGAAGUGUUCCGACUAUUGUCACUCCGAGGUUUGCCGGAUCAUAACACGUAGUAGGUGACUAUAACUUGCAAGAUAGGAUCAAGAACUGACAUAUAUUCAUGAAAAUAUAAUAGGUUCAGAUCUGAAAUCAUGGCACUCGGGGCCUAGUGACAAGCAUUAAGCAUGGAAAAGUCAUAGCAACAUCAAUCUUAGAACACAAUGGAUACUAGGGAUCAAACCCUAACAAAACUAACUCGAUUACAUGGUAAAUGUCAUCCAACCCAUCACCGUCCAGGAAGCCUACGAUGGGAUUACUCACGCAUGGCGGUGAGCAUCAUGAAAUUGGUGAUGAAGGAUGGUUGAUGAUGACGAUGGCGACGGAUUCCCCUCUCCGGAGCCCCGAACGGACUCUAGAUCAGCCCUCCAAGGAAGAAUAGGGCCUUGCGGUGGCUCCGUAUAGUAAAACGCGAUGAAUCCUUAUCUCUGAUUUUUUUCUCCCCGAACGUGAAUAUAUGGAGUUGGAGUUGAGGUCGGUGGAGGUCCAGGGGACCCACGAGGCAGGGGGCAUGCCCUGCACCCUCGUGGACAGGAUGUGGGCCCCCUUAAGUUGAUUCUUUUACCAAUAUUUUUAUUAAUUCCAAAAUGUGACUCCGUGGAGUUUCUGGUCAUUCCGAGAAGUUUUAUUUCUGCACAAAAAUAACACCAUGGCAAUUCUGCUGAAAACAACAUCAGUCCGGGUUAGUUCCAUUCAAAUCAUGCAAGUUUCUGUCCAAAACAAGGGCAAAAGUGUUUGGAAAAGUAGAUACAUUGGAGACGUAUCAACUCCCCCAAGCUUAAACCUUUGCUUGUCCUCAAGCAAUUCAGUUGACAAACUGAAAGUGAUAAAGAAAAACUUUUACAAACUCUGUUUGAUCUUGUUGUUGCAAAUAUGUAAUGCCAGCAUUCAAGUUUUUAGCAAAGAUUAUGAACUAACCACAUUCACAAUAACACUUAGGUCUCACAUUUACUCAUAUCAAUGGCAUAAUCAACUAGCGAGCAAUAAUAAUAAAUCUCGGAUGACAACACUUUCUCAAAACAAUCAUAAUAUGAUAUAACAAGAUGGUAUGUCGCUAGCCCUUUCUGAGACCGCAAAACAUAAAUGUAGAGCACCCCUAAAGAUCAAGCACUAACUAGACAUUGUAAUUCAUGGCAAAAGAGAUCCAAUCAUACUCAAUGUAAAUUAAUAGCAAUGCAUGCAAAUGACAGCGGUGCUCUCCAACUUGUGCUUUUAAUAAGAGGAUGAUGACUCAACAUAAAAGUAAAUAGAUAGGCCCUUCGCAGAGGGAAGAAGGGAUUUGCAGAGGUGCCAGAGCUUGAGUUUUGAAAUAGAGAUAAAUAAUAUUUUGAGCGGCAUACUUUCAUUGUCAACAUAACAACCAAGAGAUCUCGAUAUCUCCCAUGCUACAUACAUUAUAGGCGGUUCCCAAACAGAAUGGUAAAGUUUAUACUCCCCACCACCAACUAGCAAUAUUCCAUGGCUGACCCGAGACAACAGGUACCGUCCAACUAACAACAAUCCUGGGGGAGUUAUGUUUGCAGUUAUUUUGAUUUGAUUUGAGCAUGGGACUGGGCAUCCCAGUUACCGGCCAUUUUCUCGUGAAUGAUGAGUGGAGUCCACUCAUCGUGAGAAUAACCCACCUAGCGUGGAAGAUAUAGACAACCCUAGUUGAUACAUGAGCUAUUCGAGCAUACAAAACAGAAUUUCAUUUGAAGGUUUGGAGUUUGGCACAUGCAAAUUUACUUGGAAUGGUAGGUAAAUACCGCAAAUAGGAAGGUAUGGCGGACUUGUAUGGAAUAACUUUGGAGUUUAUGGAAGUGGAUGCACAAGCAGUAUUCCCGCUUAGUACAAGUUAAGGCUAGAAAGAGACUGGGAAGUGACAAACUAGAGAGCGACAACAAUCAUGAACAUGCAUUAAGAUUAACCAACAAUGAGUGCAAGCAUGAGUAGGAUAUAAAUCACCAUGAACAUAAAUAUCGUGGAGGCUAUGUUAAUUUUAUUUCAACUACAUGUGUGAACAUGUGCCAAGUCAAGCUACUCGAAUCAUUCAAACGAGGAUACCACCUUAUCAUACCACAUCACAACCAUUUUAAUAGCCUGUUGGCACGCAAGGUAAACCAUCAUAAACUCCUAGCUAAUUAAGCAUGGCAUGAGCAACUAUAAUCUCUAAUUGUCAUUGCAAACAUGUUUCAUUCAUAAUAGGCUGAAUCAGGAACGAUGAACUAAUCAUAUUUACAGAAACAAGAUAGGUCGAGUUCAUACCAGCUUCUCUCAUCUCAGUCAUUCCAUUAUAUAUCGUCAUUAUUGCCUUUCACUUGCACGACCGAACGGUGUGAAUAAUAAUAAUAGUGCACGUGCAUUGGACUAGGCUGGAAUCUGCAAGCAUUUAAUACAAAGUAGAAGACAAGGUAAUAUGGGCUCUUUGUUAGAUCAACAAUAAUGCAUAUGAGAGCCACUCAACAUUUUCAUCGUGGUCUUCUCCUCUCGACCCCCAAAGGAAAGAAAAGAAAUUCAAAGAAGAAUAAAACUAUUUACACGGGAAAGGUCCCAACAAGCAAAAGAAGAACUAGAAAUCUUUUUGGGUUUUCUUUUAAUAUUACUACUACAAGCGUGGAAAGUAAACUAGCUAAAAGCUACAACUAUUUUUUUGUUUUUCUCAAGGUUUUUCAAACACACAAGAAGAAAGCAAGAAAAGAAAAUAAACUAGCAUGGAUAAUACAAUGAAAAAGUAUGAGCACCGACAACUAGAAUGAGUGUGUGAACAUGAAUGUAAUGUCGGUGAGAAAUACAUACUCCCCCAAGCUUAGGCUUUUGGCCUAAGUUGGUUUAUGCCCAUGGAUCGAAGCGACCCUCUCUGGUGUACUGAGGAGGGUCCUCGGGGUGCCACUGGUUAGCGAGCUCCUCUAGAUCCCACUGAUAAACAGACUCUCGAUAUGGGUCAAGUGGUGGCUUAGGCUCAGGCUCUGGGACUUGUGUCAGCUCCUAGUAUGCAUAAAUGUCCUCGGACAGGAUGAGGUAUGUGCCUGAAAGUAUGUUAAACAAAGAGGGUGCAAGCAAGAUAAUAGUCUCAUAGUUUUAGGAAAUAUCAAGUUAUACUUAAGUAUCUUCUUCUUAUUUUUAACAAUAAAGUCAUGUGCUACCAUACUAUUAUAGUCUAGCAAAAUAGUGGGCAACAACUUUUCCUCUUUCUCAUGAUGCCUAAUAGGUAUCUCAAAGUGUUUAGCAAGGCGUGAAGCAAAGAUACCUCCAAAGAUGGGGCCUUUUGUACGGUUCAGAUUUAACCGUUUAGCAACAAUGGCGCCUAAACUGAAAGUUGUAUCACGAAACAAAGCAUGGCACAAAAUAGCAAGGUCUGGAGCACUAAGGUUCCCACUAUUCCCGCGACAAAUUAAGCAUCUACUAGCAAAUAUUGCAAAGUAACGUAGAACACGAAAAUGUAUACUAGUAGUCCUUGCAUCUGAAACUUUUCUCGUUUCCCCUAUAGCAAUUUUAUCAAUAAAUCCAUCCAAUCACUAGGAUGUGGUUCCUCGAUGCUGCUUGCAAAGGGCAACUUGCAAACUACGCAAAAAUCAUACAGUGACAUCUCCUUAAACUCAUCCUAUAAAUAAAAUUCCACUGAAGGUGGUGAUUUUCUAGCAUGGAAAUAAAAGUUUUGCACAAAAAUAUUAGUGAGUAGGAGAUACUAUUCACACUGGUCGUGGAGGAAGUUGGCGAGGCCUGCAUUCUCAGCCAGAUAAUAAAAGUCGUCAUGAAUUCCCGCGGCUCUCAAGAAUGUAUCAUAAGGCCAUUCGCACGCCCGAACCUCCGCAGUGCAAGGAAGAUUGUAUUUGGGCUUUUUAUUCUCUUCAUUCUGCUUAUCCUUCGAGCUUCGGCUCGAGGAGCCCCUCAAAAAUCACUUCACCAUUUUCUUUCUCUGAAAUUUUUAGUGACUCAAAUCAAAAGUUAACCUAACUCAAUAAGAUUGAUAGCAACUACUCCAAUAAGUGCCUAGAGGCUAUAUCAUGCAUUAAAACUACUUUGGACCAUAUAAAUUUGACAUGCAAGCUCAAGAACAGGGUCACCUUAGUAGUAAAAAUUUGCAAUAAAUAAAGAACUAGAACAAAAACUAAUUGGACCAUUGGAGGAGUCACAUACCGAAGAACAAUCCCCCAAAGCAGUUUUGUGAAUGGAGCUUUGAGCAAGGAGAUAAAAAAUGGCAGCAAAACGAGCUAUAACACGGGUUUGAGCUACGAGAUGAUUUUUGCUAGAGGAAGACGAAGUGUGUGGGUGCUGGAAUAAGUGGAGGGAGGCCAUGUGGGGCCCACGAGGCAGGGGCACACCCCAGGGGGGUGGCCGCGCCCUGCACCCUUGUUGCCAAAUGGUGGGUCCCCCUGGUGUGUUCUAAGUGCUAGAAAUUCAUAAAUAUUCUACAAAAAAUCAUACUCCAUUUUCAGGUCAUUUGGAGAACUUUUAUUUUCAGGGUAUUUUUUUAUUGCAUGGAUAAUUCAAAAAACAGACAAAAAAAACUAUUUUUGAUUUAUUUAUUCCAAAUAUCAGAAAGUAAAAGGAGGGUACAAAAGGUUGUGCUUUCUAACUUCAUCCAUCUCAUGCUCAUCAAAAGGAAUCCACUAACAAGGUUGAUCAAGUCUUGUUAACAAACUUCUUCCGAGUAACAUGAAACCGGAGAAUUUUCGAAUAACACUAGGUUACCUCAACGGGGAUAUGCAUGUCCCCAACAAUGAAUAUCAUAUAUUUUUUUGACAGUAGGAAGAGGGAAUUCAAAACCUCCAAUAGUAAUCGUUGAAAAUUUUCCAAUAGAAUUGAUACUAUGAACUUGAGGUUGUUUCUUUGGAAAGUGUACCGUAUGCUCAUUACCAUUAACAUGAAAAGUGACAUUGCCUUUGUUGCAACCAAUAACAGCCCCUGCAGUAUUCAAAAAGGGUCUACCAAGGAUGAUCGACAUACUAUCGUCCCCGGGAAUAUCAAAAAUAACAAAGUCCGUUAAAAUAGUAAUGUUUGCAACCACAACAGGCGCAUCCUCACAAAUACCGACUGGUAUAGCGGUUGAUUUAUCGGCCAUUUGCAAAGAGAUUUCAAUAGGUGUCAACUUAUUCAAAUCAAGUCUACGAUACAAAGAGAGAGGCAUAACACUAACACCGGCUCCAAGAUCACAUAAAGCAGUUUUUAACAUAGUUUCUUUUAAUGGAGCAUGGUAUAGUUGGUACUCCUGGAUCUCCUAGUUUCUUUGGUAUUCCACCCUUAAAAGUGUAAUUGGCAAGCAUGGUGGAAAUUUCAGCUUCCAGUAUCUUUCUUUUAUUUGUAACAAUAUCUUUCAUAUACUUAGCAUAAGGAUUCAUUUUAAGCAUAUAGUUCAAAUGCAUACGCAAAAAGAUAGGUUUAAUCAUUUCAGCAAAGCGCUCAAAAUCCUCAUCAUCCUUUUUCUUGGAUGGCUUAGGAGGAAAAGGCAUGGGUUUCUGAACCCAUGGUUCUCUUUCUUUAACGUGCUUCCUAGCAACGAAGUCUCUCUUAUCAUAACAUUGAUUCUUUGAUUGUGGGUUAUCAAGAUCAACAGCAAGUCCAAUCUCUACAUCAUUGUUAUUACUAGGUUGAGCAUCAAUAUGAACAUCAUCAUUAACAUUAUCACUAGGUUCAUGUUCAUUACCAGAUUGUGUUUCAGCAUCAUAAAUAGGAAUAUCAUUGGGAUUCUCAGGUGUGUCUAUAACAGGUUCACUAGAAGCAUGCAAAGUCCUAUCAUUUUCCUUUUUCUUUUUCUUAGAAGGACUAGGUGCAUUAAUAUUAGUUCUUUGAGAAUCUUUCUCAACUAUCUUAGGGUGGCCCUUAGGAUACAAAGGUUCCUAGGUCAUUCUACCACCUCUAGUCAUGACUCUAACAUCAUUAUCAUUAUUUUUUAUUAUUUAAUUCAUUGAGCAAAUCAUCUUGUGCCUUCAGCACUUGUUCUACUUGAGUGGUAACCAUGGAUGCAUGUUUACUAAUAAGCUUAAGGUCACCUUUAACUCUAGACAUAUAAUCACUCAAGUGUUCAACCAUAUAAGAAUUACGUUUCAAUUGUCUACCAACAUAAGCAUUGAAGUUUUCUUGUUUAACAAUAGAAUUAUCAAACUCAUCCAAGCAUUGACUAGCAAACUUAGUAGAUGGGAUUUCACACUUAUCAAAUCUAUAGAGAGAAUUUACCUUUACUACCUGUGUCGGGUUAUCAAGACCAUGUAUUUCUUCAAUAGGUGGUAAAUUCUUAACAUCUUCAGCUUUAAUGCCUUUUUCUUUCAUAGAUUUCUUCGCCUCUUGCAUAUCUUCGGGACUGAGAAAUAGAAUACCCAUUUUCUUUGGAGUUGUUUUAGGAGUUGGUUCAGGAAGUGUCCAAUCAUUAUCAUUACUCAAUAUAUUAUUCAAUAGCAAUUCAGCUUGCUCAACAGUUCUUUCCCUGAAAAUACAACCAUCACAACUAUCCAGGUGGUCUCUGGAAGCAUCAGUUAGUCCAUUAUAAAAGAUAUCAAGUAUUUCAUUUUUCUUGAGAGGAUGAUCAGGAAAAGCAUUAAGUAAUCGGAGAAGCCUCCCCCAAGCUUGUGGGAGACUCUCUUCUUCAAUUUGCACAAAAUUAAAUAUUUCCCUUAAGGCAGCUUGUUUCUUAUGAGCGGGGAAAUAUUUUACAGAGAAGUAAUAAAUCAUAUCUUCGGGACUACACACACAACCAGGAGCAAGAUAAUUAAACCAUAUCUUAGCAUCACCCUUUAAUGAGAAAGGAAACAAUUUAAGAAUAUAAUAGUAGCGAAUUUUUUCGUCAUAAGUAAAUAGGGCGGCCAUAUCAUUCAAUUUAGUAAGAUGUGCCACAACAGUUUCAGAUUCAUAGCCAUAAAAAUGAUCAUAUUCAACCAAAGUAAUUAACUCGGGAUCAACAGAGAAAUCAUAAUCCUUAUCAGUAACACUGGUAGGUGAAGUAGCAAAAGCAGGGUCAUAUUUCAUUCUAGCAUUCAAAGACUUUUCUUUCAGCUUAGCUAACAGUUUCUUAAGAUCAUAUCUAUCAUUGCAAGCAAAAAGGUCUCUAGCAGCUUCUUCAUCCAUAACAUAACCCUCACGCACAACAUGCAAUUCAUAUCUAGGGGGAGAAUCUUAAUAAUCACUUUCAUCAAUAUCAUCAGUUUCAAUAAUUUAAUUCUCUCUAACCCUAGCAAGUUGUUCAUCAAGAAAUUCACCUAAUGGCAUAGUAUUAUCAAGAAGAGAAGUAGUUUCAUCAUAAGCAUCAUGCAUAGUAGAAGUGGCAUCACCAAUAACAUGCGGCAUAUCAGAAUCAAUAGCAGGUGCAGGUCUAGGUGUCGCAAAUUUACUCAUAACAGAAAGUGAAUCAAAUGCAGAGCUAGAUGGCAGUUCCUUAUCUCCCCUCGUAGUUGAGGGAAAAAUCUUGGUUCUUUCAUCUUUCAAGUUCCUCAUAGUGAUCAAUAGAUAUAAAUCCCAAGUGACUCAAAGAUAGAGCUAUGCUCCCCGGCAACGGCGCCUGAAAAAGGUCUUGAUAACCCACAAGUAUAGGGGAUCGCAACAGUUUUCGAGGGUAGAGUAUUCAACCCAAAUUUAUUGAUUCGACACAAGGGUAGCCAAAGAAUACUCUCAAGUAUUAGCAGCUGAGUUGUCAAUUCAACCACACCUGAAAGACUUAAUAUCUGCAACAAAGUAUUUAGUAGCAAAGUAGUAUGGAAGUAACGGUAACGGUGGCAAAACUAACAUUAGAAGUUUUGUAGCAAUCAUAACAGUGGCAACAGAGAAGUAACUAAGCAAGGCUCAAUAUGUGAAAAGCUCGUAGGCAAUGGAUCAAUGAUGGAUAAUCACCGGGAAUAGAUAUAGCAUAAGGUGACACAGAACUAGCUCAAGUUCAUCAAUGCAAUGUAGGCAUGUAUUCUGAAUAUAGUCAUACAUGCUUAUGGAAAAGAACCUGCAUGGCAUCUUUUGUCCUACCCUCCCGUGGGAGCGGGGUCCUAUUGGAAACUAAGGGAUAUUAAGGCCUCCUUUUAAUAGAGUACCAGACCAAAGCAUUAGCAGUUAGUGAAUACACGAACUCCUCAAACUACGGUCAUCACCGGGAAGUGUCCCGACUAUUGUCACUCCAGGGUUUGCCGGAUCAUAACACGUAGUAGGUGACUAUGACUUGCAAGAUAGGAUCAAGAACUCACAUAUAUUCAUGAAAACAUAAUAGGUUCAUACCUAAAAUCAUGGCACUCGCGCCCUAGUGACAAGCAUUAAGCAUGGCAAAGUCAUAGCAACAUCAAUCUUAGAACAUAAUGGAUACUAGGGAUCAAACCCUAACAAAACUAACUCGAUUACAUGGUAAAUCUCAUCCAACCCAUCACCGUCCAGCAAGCCUACGAUGGGAUUACUUACGCAUGGCGGUGAGCAUUAUGAAAUUGGUGAUGGAGGAUGGUUGAUGAUGAUGAUGGCGAUGGAUUCCCCUCUCUGAAGCCCCGAACGGACUCCAGAUCAGCCCUCCCGAGGAAGAAUAGGGAUUGGCGGCGGCUCCAUAUCGUAAAACGCGAUGAAUCUUUCUCUCUAAUUUUUUUCUCCCCGAACAUGAAUAUAUGGAGUUAGAGUUGAGGUCAGUGGAGGUCCAGGGGACCCACGAGGCAGGGGGCGCACCCCAGGGGGGUGGGCGCGCCCUGCACCCUCGUGGACAGGGUGUGGCCCCCCAUACGUUGAUUCUUUCGCCAAUAUUUUUUAUUAAUUCCAAAACGUGACUCUGUGGAGUUUCAGGUCAUUUCGAGAACUUUUAUUUCUGCACAAAAAUAAUACCAUGGCAAUUCUGCUGAAAACAACAUCAAUCCGGGUUAGUUCCAUUCAAAUCAUGCAAGUUAGAGUCCAAAACAAGGGAAAAAGUGUUUGGACUGUAAUUUGCAUCAUCAAGCCUCAUACGUCUCCAUCAUAUCUAGUUUUCCAAACUCUUUUCCCCUUGUUUUGGACUCUAAUUUGCAUGAUUUGAACGGAACUAACCUGGACUGACGCUGUUUUAAGGAGAAUCGCGAUGGUGUUAUUUUUGUGCAGAAAUAAAAGUUCUCAGAACGACCUAAAACUUCAUGGAGAAUAUUUUUUGGAUUUAACAAAAAAUAUUGGCGAAAGAAUCAACCGAGGGGGACCCACCACCUGUUCACAACGGUGGGGGGGGGGCGCCCAACCUCCCCUGGGCACGCCUCCUGGCUUGUGGGUCCCACGAAGCUCCACCGGCCUCAACUCCAACUCCAUAUAUUCAUAUUUGGGGGAAAAUGAGGGAGAAGGGUUCAUUGCGUUUUACGAUACGAAGCUACCCACACCUCUUGUUUUUCCUCGGGAGGGUAGAUCCGGAGUCCGUUUUUUGCUCCGGAGAGGGGCAAUUGUCGCCAUCGUCAUCAUCAACCAUCCUCCAUCACCAAUUUCAUGAUUCUCACCACCAUGCAUGAGUAAUUCCAUCAAAGGCUUGCUGGACAGAGAUAGUUUGGUAGAGAUUUAACAUGUAAUUGAGUUAGUUUUGUUAGGGUUUGACCCCAAGUAUCCACUAUGUUCUGAGAUUGAUGUUGCUAUGACUUUCCUAUGCUUAAUGCUUGUCACUAGGGCCCAAGUGCCAUGAUUUCAGAUCUGAACCUAUUAUGUUUUCAUGAAUAUAUUUGUGUUCUUCAUCCUAUCUUGCAAGUUAUAGUCACCUACUAUGUGUUAUGAUCCGGCAACCCGGGAGUGACAAUAGUCGGGACACUUCCCAGUGAUGACCGUAGUUUGAGGAGUUCAUGUAUUCACUAAGUGCUAAUGCUUUGGUACGGUUCUCUAUUAAAAUGAGGCCUUUAUAUCCCUUAGUUUCCAAUAGGACCCCGCUGCCAUGGGAGGGUAGGACAAAAGAUGUGAUGAAAGUUCUUUUCCAUAAGCUCGUAUGACUAUAUUCGAAAUACAUGCCUACAGUAUAUUGAUGAAUUGGAGCUAGUUCUGUGUCACCCUAGGUUAUAACUGUUGCAUGAUGAAUGCCAUCCGACAUAAUUAUCCAUCAUUGAUCCAUUGCCUACGAGUUCGUUUCAUAUUGAUCUUUGCUACGUUACUUUUCCGUUGCUGAUGACCCACAAGUGUAUGGGGUCAAUUGUAGCCCUUUUCGAUAAGUAAGAGUGUUGAACCCAACGAGGAGCAGAAGGAAAUGACAAGUGGUUUCAGCAAGGUAAUGUCUGCAAGUGCUAAAAUUGUAAGUAGCGGAGUAGUUUGAUAGCAAGAUAAUUUGUAACGAGCAAGUAACAAUAGUAGUAACAAAAGUACAACAAGGUAGCCCAAUCCUUUUGAGGCAAAGGACAUGCCAAAAUGGUUUCUUAUGAUAAGCAAAGUGUUCUUGAGGGUACACGGGAAUUCAUCUAGUCCCUUUCAUCAUGUUGGCUUAAUUCGUGUUCGGUACUUUGAUAAUUUGAUAUGUGGGUGGACCGAUGCUUAGGGGCUGUUCUUACUUGUACAAACCCCCUACUUAUGAUUAACCCUCUCGCAAGCAUCCGCAACUACGAGAAAAGUAUUAAGAAUAAAUUCUAACCAUAGCAUUAAUCUUUUGGAUCCAACCGGUCCCUUACGGAAUAGCGCAUAAACUGGGGUUUAAGCUUUUGUCACUCUCGUAACCCACCAUCUAAUAACUACUCCGCAAUGCAUUCCCUUAGGCCCAAAUAUGGUGAAGGGUCAUGUAGUCGACGUUCACAUGACACCACUAAGAGAAUGGCAACAUCUACAUACCAUCAAAAUAUUGAACACAUACCAAGUUCAAAUGAUUACUUGGAACAUGAUUUCUCCUGUGACCUCAAGAAUGAAAGUAACUACUCACAAAUGAUAAACAUGCUCCAGAUCAGAGGGGUAUUGAAUAGCAUAAUGGAUCUGAACAUAUAAUCUUCCAUUAAAUAAACCAUAUAGUAAUCAACUACAAGAUGUAAUCAACACUACUAGUCACCCACAAGCACCAAUCUAUAGUUUUGAUACAAAGAUUGAACACAAGAGAUGAACUAGGGUUUGAGAGGAGUUGGUGCUGUGAAGAUGUUGAUGAAGAUAGCCCUCCCCAAGAUGGGAGAGUUGUUGGUGAUGAUGAUGAUGAUGAUUUCCCCCUCCGGGAGGGAAGUUCCCUUGGCGGAAUUGCUCCGCCGGAGGGCAAAAGUGCUCCUUCCCGAGUUCCGCCUCGAGGCGGCGGUGCUUCGUCCCGAAUGUCCUCCCCUUAUUUUUUCUAGGUCAAAAUGACUUAUAUACAAGAAGAUGGGCACCGGAGGUGGGCCGAGGAGGGCAGCACCCACCAGGGCGCGCCUGGGCGUCCUAGCGCGCCCAGGUGGGUUGUGCCCACCUGGUGGCCCUCCUCUGGUACUUAUUUGCUCCAAUGUUCCUUAAAUAUUCCAUAAAAAAUCCUCAGGGAGUUUCAGCUCAUUUGGUGUUGUGAAGAAUAGGUAGCUUGAUGUAGCUUUUUCAGGUCCAGAUUUCCAGCUGCCAGAAUUCUCCCCCUUGGUGCAUACCUUUCAUAUUAUGAGAGAAAAGGCAUUAGAAUUACUCCAAAAAGCAUUAUUAUACAAUAAAAAAACAUAAAUAACAGUAGGAAAACAUGAUGCAAAUUGGACGUAUCAACUCCCCCAAGCUUAGACCUCGCUUGUCCUCAAGCGAAAACCAAAAUCGAAAAACAUGUCCACAUGCUUAGAGAGAGAGGUGUCGAUAAAACAAAAAUACGGACAUAGCAGCAUCAUGUGACUUAUUAUAAUAGCAAAAAACUUUAAUUUAAAACUUUUAUCAUAGACUUCUCAUGAACAAGUGACAAUUCAUCACAACAUUGAAGUAUAAAGCAUAAAAUCUAUUGGAAACCAACAAACUAUGUUCUCAGUCAACUUUGCAACUACAAUUCAUCAUCUUUUCAGGAAGGGUCACGUAUCGGAGCCUUUAGGCAAGUCCACAUACUCAACCAUCAUUUAGUCUUCUAUGAUAGCUAACACUCACCGCGUACACAUGAACAAAACAUUUCAACCGGACACAAAGAAAGUUAGGGGCUUAUAGUUUUGCCUCCCAACACACUCACCUCAAGGGUGAUGUCAACAAUAGUAACUUAUGCCACCCAUAUUCAACUGGACAUAUGUGCCUAGAUCUUUCCUCACCACAUGAUGCUUGCCAAAGGAGAAAAAUAAAAGGAAUAGAGAGAAAAACUUUGACUCUUGCAUAAAAGUAAACACAUGAAAAGUAAAAGAUAGGCCCUUCGUAGAGGGAAGGAGAGGUUGCCAUGCACUUUCUGUUUGUAUGCUCAACCCCGUAGUGCAAGAGAACGUCACAUUAUAUUGCCCCUUGUGAUGGCAACCUUUAUUAUGCAGUCUGUCGCUUUUAUUCUUCACCAUCACAAGUUCUUACAACGCUCAAUUUCCCCUUACACUAAAUGAUCUCACAUUUUUAUAAGCAAUUUUUAUUGCCCUUUUUGCACCGAUGACAACUUACUUGAAGGAUCUUACUAAAUCCAUAGGUAGGUAUGGUGGACUCUCAAACAAUAUAGGGUUUAAGGGUUUUGGAUGCACAAGUAGUAUCUCUACUUAGUGCGGAAUUUUUGGCUAGCAAAGAUAGGGGCAAGCACCACAUGUUGAAGGAUCUAUGACAAUAUGACUUCUACGUGAAUAUGAACAAACAUAAAUCAUUAAGUUGUCUUCCUUGUCCAACGUCAACAAUUUUGGCAUAUAAUAUUUUGAUGGGUGCUCACAAUCACAAAAGAUUUCCAUGAUAAUAUAUUUAUAUGUGAAUCUUCUCUUCCCUUAUUAAUUCUUUCAAGUGUUGCAUCAUUGACCAAUGCUAUGUUUGUCAAUUUACAAUAAAAUUUUCUACUUAUACUUUUCCUUGUGUAAUGUCAUCACUUACCAUAAGAUUAGCAUAUGAUCUUUCUUUUUAUUUUCUUUCUUUUUAUUGCAGCAAGAAAGUAAAGAAGGCAAAACUCAAACUAAACUUUCUUAUAUCUCGCACACGAUUACAAGGAUUGAUCACUAAGACAAGUCACAAAAAGCAAGGAUUGAACUAAACUUUUAUUCAUCUAAAAGCAAAAGAUAACUGUUGACCGAACAAAGAAAAUUAAGGCAAAAGAUAGUGGAGAUUGAUACAAUACCGGGGCACCUCCCCCAAGCUUGGCGAAAGACAAGGGGAGUGCCCAUACCCAAUACUUAGUUUUCUUUUGGUGGUGAUGAAGAAGACGAUGGUGAUGAAGUAGACGGUUUCUUGUCCUCGGGUUUGCACGGAAGAGGUUCACCAUCAUAGGAGGAGGAGUGAGUCUCCCGGAUCCUGCCACUACCAGCCAAGCUCACACCUUUAAACCUGUCCUCAUACUCAAAGACAUGGCUUUGAAGAUCCUGGGUCUCGCUAUGGAGGAAGUUGAUUUGCUCGUUGAGGGAGAAUAUGAUGUCCUUUAUGGGCUUGCCAUCCACCUCAAGAUCACGGGAGUAGUCCGCGGUUAUGAGGUGAUUGGCAUUGAGUCCAUGCUCCACCAUCCCCUUGCACUUAAAGAUGUCCUGCUCCAUGGCUCCAAGCCUAGCCUCCAUGGAUCCAGUACCCCUGGGUACUUGCACAUCGCGGAUGUGCAGCACCCCAUCAUGCAUCUGGAUAUAUUAAGGGCGCUGCAUCACCUCCCGUAGAUAUGGGUUGAUGACGUUUUCAAAGAACUUGUCCUUGGAGCAGCUUGAAGAGGCCAUGGUGGAUUGGAUCUGACAGAAAACAGCGAGAAAAGAAAGCAGGAGAUUUCUCCGCGAUACGGACGUUAACAGGUUCUGGAGGUAUAUAUAGAUUUUUUUAUCUUGGAGAACAAGCAGAACGGAAGAAAAACGGAGAUGGAAAGUACCCGAGGUGGGCACAAACACCUGGGCGCGCCAGGCCAACCUGGUGCAGAUAUCCCACAAAUAUAGGGGAUCGCAAAAGUUUUCGAGGGUAUAGUAUUCAACCCAAAUUUAUUGAUUCGACACAAGGGGAGCCAAAGAAUAUUCUCAAGUAUUAGCAGCUGAGUUGUCAAUUCAACAACACCUGAAAGACUUAAUAUCUGCAACAAAGUAUUUAGUAGAAAAGUAGUAUGGAAGUAACAGUAACGGUGGCAAAAGUAACAAUAACGGUGGCAAAAGUAACAGUAGCAGUUUUGUAGCAAUCGUAACAGUGGCAACGGAGAAUUAACUAAGCAAGGCUCAAUAUGUGAAAAGCUCGUAGGCAAUGGAUCAAUGGUGGAUAAUUAUGUCGGAUGCAAUUCAGCAUGCAAUAGUUAUAACAUAGGGUGACACAUAACUAGCUCCAGUUCAUCAAUGUAAUGUAGCCAUGUAUUCCGAAUAUACUCAUACGUGCUUAUGGAAAAGAACUUGCAUGCCAUCUUUUGUCAUACCCUCCCAUUGCAGCGGGGUCCUAUUGGAAACUAAGGGAUAUUAAGGCCUCCUUUUAAUAGAGUACCAAACCAAAGCAUUAGCACUUAGUGAAUAUACGAACUCCUCAAACUACGGUCAUCACUGGGAAGUGUCUCAACUAUUGUCACUCCGGGGUUUGCCGAAUCAUAGCACAUAGUAGGUGACUAUAACUUGCAAGAUAGGAUCAAGAACUCACAUAUAUUCAUGAAAACAUAAUAGGUUCAGAUCUGAAAUCAUGGCACUCGGGCCCUAGUGACAAGCAUUAAGCAUGGCAAAGUCAUAGCAACAUCAAUCUUAGAACAUAAUGGGUACUAGGGAUCAAACCCUAACAAAACUAACUCGAUUACAUGGUAAAUCUCAUCCAACCCAUCACCGUCCAGCAAGUGAAAGAUCGUGGAUGUCGCCUAGAGGGGGGGGGGUGAAUAGGCGCUUCAAAAUAAUUACUGUUAAGGCUUAAACAAAUGCGGAAUAAACCUAGCGGUUAAUUUGUCAAGCACAAAAUCUAAAACAACUAGGCUCACCUAUGUGCACCAACAACUUAUGCUAAGCAAGAUAAGCAACUAUAUGAUAGCAAGAUAUAUGACAAAGAACAAUAUGGAUAUCACAAAGUAAAGUGCAUAAGUAAAGGGGCUCGGUUAAGAGAUAACCAAGGCACGCGGAGACGGCGAUGUAUCCCAAAGUUCACACCCUUGCGGAUGCUAAUCUCCGUUUGGAGCGGUGUGGAGGCACAAUGCUCCCCAAGAAGCCACUAGGGCCACCAUAAUCUCCUCACGGCCUCGCACAAUGCAAGAUGCCGUGAAUCCACUAAGGGACCCUUGAGGGCGGUCACCGAACCCGUACAAAUGGCAACCCUUGGGGGCGGUCACCGAACCCGUACACUUUGGCAACCCUUGGGGGCGGUCACCGGUACCCGUCAAAUUGCUCGGGGCAAUCUCCACAACCUAAUUGGAGACCCCGACGCUUUCCCGGAGCUUUACACAACAAUGAUUGAGCUCCGAACACCACCAACCGUCUAGGGCACCCAAGCACCCAAGAGGAACAUGCUCAAGGGCACCAAGCACCCAAGAGUAAUAAGCUUCUCAACUUGUAACUUCCACGUAUCACGUGGAGAACUCAAACCGAUGCACCAAAUGCAAUGGCAACGGCACACGGAGUGCCCAAGUCCUUCUCUCUCAAAUCCCACCGAAGCAACUAAUGCUAGGGAGGAAAAUGAGAGGAAGAACAAGAAGAACACGAAGAACUCCAAGAUCUAGAUCCAAGGGGUUCCCCUCACUUAGAGGAGAAAGUGAUUGGUGGAAAUGUGGAUCUAGAUCUCCUCUCUCUUUUCCCUCAAAAACUAGCAAGAAUCCAUGGAGGGAUUGAGAGUUAGCAAGCUCGGAGAAGGUCAACAAUGGGGGAAGAACACGAGCUUAAAGGAUAAGUUUCAAUGGGGAAGAAGACCCCCUUUUAUAGGAGGGGGAAAAUCCAACCGUUAUGUGCUCAGCCCGCACACGAGCGGUACUACCGCUCCACGAGCGGUACUACCGCUCGGGCGGAAGAAGCAGGGAAACGGAGCAACAAAACAAGAACCUUGGGGCGGUAGUACCGUAUAUAAGCAGUACUACCUCUCACCCCAGCGGUACUACCGCUCACGAGCAGUACUACCGCUCCUACUGCCGCUACUACUGCCGCUGAACCCGACACGAGAAAACCACGUAUCGAGUCGAGGCGGUACCAGCGCGGAACCGGAGCCGUACUACCGCUUAUGGCCAUGGGCGGUACUACUGCUGUGGGACAGCGGUACUACCGCUUGUGGCGAUAAGAGGUAUGCCGCUCCGGCCCAGCGGUACUACCCCUGGCGCCAUCCUAAUGCCACUACCGCGAAAACAAAGAAUACUCCAAAGAAAACCAGAACUGCCAUAACUUCUGCAAAUGAGCUCAGAAUUGAGCAAACUCAAGCUCGUUUGAAACAAGACAACGAGUAGCAUCAAAACAGCGACACCUCCAACAGAGGCAGGGGAGGUAUGCUUAGCAAACAAAAGAGUGACACCUCCAACAGCAAAUGAGCUCCGAAUUGAGCAAAACUCAAGCUCAUUUGGUUAUAGUAAGAAGAGGCAGGGGAGGUAUGCUUAGCAAACAAAGGAGUGACACCUCCAACAGAGAAGAACCGGCAUACCCUCCAACAUCGAAAACAUCAUAGAAGAUGCAUGUGAACUCUGUUUUCGAUGAACUCGAGCUUGUCAUAAAAAUGACCAAAAGCUCCAAAUCUCACAAGGAGAAGAACCAAACAAGAACCAAAAGGAUGAUGCAAGGAUGCAAUGGUUUGAGCUCUCUACGAACGAUACGAUCAAGCAACUCAUUGAGAUACCCCCUUGAUAGUACGGCAAACGAUCCUAUAACCCGGUCUCCCACAACUACCAUGAGAUUGGUAAAAUAGAAAACCUAUCAAGGGCAAACCUUUGCCUUGCACAUGGUCCACUUGAGCUAGAUGAUGACGAUCUUGACUCCCUCAAGUUGGACCACCUUUCUUGAUUGUGUUGGCUCGAUGAAGACUAGUUGAUUGCUCCCCCAUACUCCACUGUGGGUGAGCCUCUCUUCCGCACAUCUUCACAAGUCCAUUGUCACCACAAUGGACGGCAAGCUUCAAGCAUUUGAUCUCUUCGUGAUGCUUCACUUGAACUUGGACACCACAACCUAACCCCACAAAUAACUCUCACGAAGGUCAUGGGUUAGUACACAAAGCAUAAUUGACAGUGCUUACCAUACCAUGGGAUCGUUUGAUCCCUCUCGGUACAUAUUCUACGCUUUGUGUGUUGAUCAACUUGAUUCACUCUUUGACUUAGUCUUGAUCAACCUUGAAUCUUUCCAACUCUCUUCAUUUGGAUGAUGUCUUGAAGGUAAAAAUGAAUGAUCACACAAUCUUCUUCUUCAAGACAUGCUUGUAAUAAGCUCAACACUGACAUGACCAAUCUUUGGAUAAUUCCUUAAUAGCACCUUGGUCAACUCAUAAACUCCUUGAAACUAACACAUGGACUUCAAGAAAAAACUAUGGAUAGAUCCUUCAAAUAUAACUCAAGACAACCAUUAGUCCAUAGAGAUUGUCAUCAAUUACCAAAACCAAACAUGGGGGCACCGCAUGUUCUUUCAGCAAGCCUACGAUGGGAUUACUCACGCACGAUGAUGAGCAUCAUGAAAUUGGUGAUGGAGGAUGGUUGAUGAUGGCGACGGAUUCCCCUCUCUGGAGCCCCAAACAGACUCUAGAUCAGCCGCCCCGAGGAAGAAUAGGGCUUGGUGGCGGCUCCGUAUCGUAAAACAUGAUGAGUCCUUCUCUCUGAUUUUUUCUCUCCCAACGUGAAUAUAUGGAGUUGGAGUUGAGGUCGGUGGAGGUCCAGGGGACCCACAAGGCAGGGGGGCUCGCCCUGCACCCUCGUGGACAGGGUGUGGGCCCCCUUAUGUUGAUUCUUUCACCAAUAUUUUUAUUAAUUCCAAAAUGUGACUGAAUGGAGUUUCAGGUCAUUCCGAGAACUUUUAUUUCUGCACAAAAAUAACACCAUGGCAAUUCUGCUGAAAACAGCGUCAGUCGGGGUUAGUUCCAUUCAAAUCAUGCAAGUUAGAGUCCAAAACAAGGGCGAAAGUGUUUGGAACAGUAGAUAUGUUGGAGACGUAUCAGGCGCGCCCUGGUGUAUCGUGCCCACCAGGGUCACUUUUGUUGAAGACUCUCAUUUUCCUAAUUGUGUAAAUAUUCCAAAACUGUCAAAAAAAAUAUUUUUGCGGAUUUUUUGGAGUCCGUUUACUUACCGUAUCACGUACCUCCUUAUUUUCAUGAUUCUGGAGUGUUCCGGAAGGACUCUUUUAUGUGUUCUUCCGGUGUUAAAGUUUGGAUAACAUUGCUUUCAACAUUAAUGGGCGUACCUGAGAUAUAGUGUUUUAUUCGUUGCCCAUUGGCAACCCUCGGGUUAGUCCCUUUAGAAUUAUUUAUUUUGAUAGCUCCGCAUAGAUAGACCUCCUCGAUGACAUAGGGUCCUUCCCAUUUGGAGAGGAGUUUUCCUGCAAACAAUCUAAAAUGAGAGUUGUACAAAAGAACAUAUUCACCUACUUUGAACUCACGCUUUUGGAUUAUUUUGUGAUGCCAUCUUUUAACUUUUUCUUUGAAUAACUUAGCAUUUUCAUAAGCCUGGGUUCUCCAUUCAUCUAAUGAGCUAAUAUUAAAUAACCUCCUUCCCCAACAAGUUUAAAAUCAUAACUGAGUUCUUUUAUUGCCCAAAAUGCUUUGUGUUCUAACUCAAGAGGUAAAUGACAAGACUUUCCAUAAACCUCUUUAUAUGGAGACAUACCCAUACGAUUUUUGUAAGCUGUUCUAUAAGCCCAAAGUGCAUCAUCUAAUUUCUUAGACGAAUUCUUCCAGGACCUAUUAAUAGUCUUUUGUAGGAUUAGUUUUAUUUCUCUAUUGCUAAGUUCAACUUGACCACUAGACUGAGGAUGAUAAGGUGACACAAUUAUAUGAUUAACAUCAUACUUAGCAAGCAUCUUACGGAAACAACCAUGAAUAAAGUUUUAACCACCAUCAAUCAUUAAAUAUCUAGGGGCUCCAAACCUUGGAAAAUUUUCCUUAAGCAUUUUAAUAGAGGUGUUGUGAUCAGCACUACUGGUUGGAAUAGAUUCUACCCAUUUAGUAACAUAAUCAACAUCAACCAAAAUAUGUGUAUACCCAUUAGAGGAAGGAAAAGGUCCCAUAAAUUCAAAUCCCCAAAUAUCAAAUUGUUCAACAGCAAGUGAAUAAUUCACAGGCAUUUCUUGACGGUUACCAAUAUUACCUAUUCUUUGGCAUUCAUCACAUGAUGAGACAAACUUACGGGCAUCUUUGAAGAGAGUACGCCAAUAAAAACUAGAUUGCAAUACCUUAUUGUAAGUGCAUCUAGUGCCCCUUAGUGAUUUUGGUGUAUUGAAGACUUAUAGGUUAAGAGACUGAUGCGUUUGUGAGUGUACACAGGUCUAUAAGUCUAUGAGGAGUUUGAUAUUUAUAGAGAAAGUCGACCCCUAAAAAUGAAGUUUUUCAACUGAAGACUUUGGAUAUCUAAAGACUUUUUGAAGACUUUGAAAGUGAAGAAAUUGGUGUGACCUUGAAGACUUGGUAAUCAUUCGAGGAACAUGAACCGUGAAGACUCUGUAUUUCAUAGUUCCAUUUUCUCUUUCUUGAGUCAUAGGAAACACCGUACUGUUAAAGGGGGUCAAGGAAAUACUAAGGAAAAAUUUCCAUGUGAUGCUCAACUCAAAAUCCUACACCUACCAAUCCCUUCGAGUGAAGCCAUUGGAAUUCUCACACAGUUCAGUCAUAUUCUUCAGUGACAGAGAUGAAGUUCUUCUGGUCUCUGAGGAAUUUGUUAUGACUGAGGAGUUCGGAAUUUGCCAGUGCGGAUUGCCUACAUAGUGAGGAACAUGAUAGCCCUGAGGAAUUUGAGAGUCAAAUAUUCCGACUGUUGCUGUGAUAUGCGCCAGCUGUCCAAAAAUAUCUACCCACCUAACGGUCAUAUCAGACAAGGGCAUUUAUGUCUUAUCAUGUCGAGCUGCUCCCUAGGCUAUAAAUAGCCCCCCCCUACAACCACUAGUUGGUUGGCUGCUCCGAGAAACUGACACUUGUCAUUUGAGAGCAUCCCAUCCUUCGAGGACUUUGAGUGAAAAUCAUCAAGUGAGGAAAACCCAAACCCAAACCUACAAAACCCCAAAGUGAUUGAGCAUCAUUGAAGAGAUUGAUCAUGCCUGGAUCCGACGCUUGUUUCCUUUGAAGACCGUGCUUCUUCCAGACGGUUAGGCGUCAAGGUCUAGAGCAUCCAAGAGGAAUUUUGGAUCGCCGAGUGACCGAGUUUGUGAAGGUCUGGAAGUCACCCGAAGACUUACCACGAGUGUUUGGGCGAGGUCUGUGUGAAUUUAGCUCAAGGAGAAUACGGUGAGGACUGUGUGUCCGGGACUGGGUGUCCUCAAGUUUAAAUACUCUGCCGCUCCAACCAGAUGUACAACUGAGACAGCAGUUGGAACUGGUCUAUGAAAUCAUUGUCUUCACCGAGCUUACUGGUUCUAUUUCCUCAACUCAAUCAUUUCCUCAUUUCUAUUGCUGUGUGCUUGUUCAUAUCUGUUUGAAGACUUUGACUGAAGACUUUCUCAAUUUCCCGAGUUUAAUUUCUUCAGUCUGUCCGUCUUCAUCUUGUGUUAUCCUGUGCUUACGCUUUCUGUACUAUGUGAUUGUCUUCAUUUCAUCAUAAUGACUAUGCGUGUGUUCUGCUAUGUUUACUUUUGAGUACUUAUUCCGCUGCAAGUAGUUCUUCAUUUAGGAAUUUCAUCACCUGCAAAUUCCUCAGUGAAGAAUUCAUAAAAAUCGUCUAUUCACCCCCCUCUAGUCGAUAUAACGCACUUUCAAUUGGUAUCAGAGCUAUGUACUCCCUUGUUCUUUGUGAUUUUGGUUUAACCUUCUGGAGUUUUAGUUAUGUCGAUCGCAUGUAUGAUUAAGGUCUCUAUUGGGUGUCCUACCUUCGAUGGAACGGACUACCCCCACUGGAGGAAUAAGAUGCGAAUGCAUCUUGAGGCAAUUGAUAACGAUCUCUGGUACAUUGUGGAAAAUGGUGUUCCCUCAGUCACACCUUCCCUGAAUGCUAGUGAUGUGGAGAGAUUCAAGCAACUCGAUUCUCAAGCGAAGAAUAUCAUAUGUGGCCAUCUGAGCAAAGGACAAUAUGGAAGAGUGAGUGCUUUGGAAACUGCUCAGCUUAUCUGGGAUAGGCUCUCCAAAGUAAAUGAAGGAGUCUCAACUCAACAUGACUCUCGUGUUGACGUUCUUCGCAAUCUCUUCAACCGCUUCAAAAUACUUGACCAUGAAAAUGUUCAGCAAACCUUCGAUCGCCUCACUGAUAUCUCAAAUGAGCUUCAAGCACUUGGCACCACUGACAUCACCGACCAUGAGGUGGUGAAGAAAUUGCUGAGAUCACUCGAUUCCUCAUUUGACACUCUGGCACUGAUGAUUCAAGAGCGUGCUGAUUACAAGUCACUUGAUCCCGCUGAUAUCCUCGAGAGGAUAAACACUCAUGAGUUUCAGCUUUCUGAGAAGAGAGAUCUCUAUGGUUUGAGCUAUGGCAAACCACAUGCUCUGAAGGCCAAGGCUGUCUCUGAGUCUGAAGAAGGGGACUCUACUAGCAGCCUUGGUGAUCCUGAAGAACUAGGACUGUUCGUGAAGAAAUUUCAGAAGUUCUCAAGACGUGGUCGCUUCGAAAAAUCCUCAAGGAGCAAUGAUUCCUCAUCAAGUGACUACAAGAAGAGGCUAUGCCACAAAUGCAAGAAACCUGGUCACUACAUUUAAGAUUGUCCUCAGUGGGACAAGGAAUUAAAGAAGAAGAAGUACAAGGAUGAUAGUUCUGAUGAUGCCAAGAAGAAGAAGAAAUCUUCGAAGUCUUCAUCAUCAAAAUCCUCAAAAUCUUCAUCUCACAAGAAGAGCAGCUCCAAGAAAGCUCGGGCAUUCAUUGGCAAGGAAAUGGACUCUGAGGCUGAAUCUAAGGAUCAUGAGGAAGAGGAGGCAUCUGAGGAGUCCGAGUCUGGUGUGUCAAGCCUAGCUCUUGCUACCGCAUUCGUCAGCAAGUCUAUCUUCAACUCUGAAGAAAAUGGCAACACCAACAAUGCUGAUGAAGGCAAUGAUGACUACGCUCCCACCUAUUGCUUCAUGGCAAAGGGUGCCAAGGUAACUAAAUACCCCUCCUCUGAAUCUAGUGAGGAUGAAUCUGAUGAAAACCUCAAGCCCAGCUACUCUAAACUUGCUAAGAUUGCUGUGAAACAACAAAAGGCUAUUGAAAAGCUUCAAAACAUGCUAGACAAAAGUGAUGAUAUGUUGGGUGAAGAAAUGGAUCGCACUAAAGACUUAACUGAAAAUCUUCAGAGACUUCAGUCUAAGUUUGACAACCUUCAAAGUCAUCAUAACACUCUCUUAUAUGAUCACGAGAAGCUUUCUUAUGAAUUUCUUCAAAGAAAGCAAGAUCUUGAGAAGCUAAGAGUGAGUUAUGAAGAUCUUCAGAAGGAGCGCGAUUCAUUGCUUGCUCAACAAAUCAGUGCUACUCAGGAAGAAUUUGUUCCUCCAUGUCUGAAAUGCAUUGAACGUGAAUCUACUAAUUCAUCACCUGAAUGUUCAAAUGCUUCAAAUAUUACAAAUUCUUCACCAGUCUCUGAUAUCACUAAUUCCUCUUCUGAGGACAUUGCUAGUACCACUGAUGAUGCAGGGCUGAAGGAAUUGUACACGACAUGCAUGUACAAAAGCCUCAAAGGGCAUCAGAUUAUGUGUGAUGUGCUUAAAAAGCAGAUCCUCAACAGGAACCCUAGGAAAGAGGGUAUUGCCUUUGAGAGGAAACUCAAUGCUGAUGGAACAUAUUGGAAGCCUGAGCAGUACCCCAAAACCUCAUGGGUUGCUGCAAAGGGACCUCUAGUUGAUCCAUCCAAUUUAUCUGGCUUUACAUGUGAAUCUCCUCAUUCUUCUGAUGAGUCAUUUGACUCCAACUAUAAACUGUUCAAAAAUCAGAAUGGUGAAGUAUUUGCUAGAUAUGUUGGCACUAACUGCAGGAACAGUUCCCCUAUGAAGAAAAUCUGGGUUCCCAAAAGCUGUCUUGAAAGUCUUCAAGUGAAUGUCCUCAUGACACCACCUGUGAAGAAUAGGAACCCCAGACCAAAUUCUUCAUAUGAACCUAAUUCUUCAUAUGGAUCCAAUUCCUCAAUAGGAUCAAAAUCCUCACAUGAUCAUCAUCGUGCUAACCCCUCUGUUUCGCAGGGUAGAACUAUGAAUAUGAGUAUUAUUCUUCAAAUCAUUAUGUUCAUAAGUCCUCAAAGAAUUUCUCUGCUUAUUCAUAUGCUUACCCUAACCCCUCUUAUGUGAAACAAAGCGGGCUGGCUUCUAUGCCACCUUUCUCAUAUGGUGCUCGCAGAGUGAUGAAUUCUUUGCCACCCCUUCAGAUGUGGGUGGUAAAGAAAAAGAACUAAUCUCUUAUGCAGGGUUAGGUCUCCAGACGUGCGCAAAACGUCUGAAGAAUUUGCUGGAGACCUGAAUGUGCCUGAAAGGAUGCAGGCUAAUCAUGAAGAAAUGAAUUUUCAUUUCUCACGUCCUCAUACUAAUUUAUCUGUGCUAUUGCUCGAUGAAAUUGAUCUGAUGAUAUUGAUGUCAUAUUCUUCACUAAUGAAGUAUAUAAGUUCGUAAGUUGCACUAAUUCAUCUGCAGGAUGAUCAACCCAAAGCCAAUGAGUGGGUCCUCGAUAGUGGAUGUAUGAAUCACAUGACUGGUGACAAGAAUCUACUGAUGGAUGCUCCCUUAUCACCGUCACAUCUGAAGCAUAUCAUCUUCGCUGACAAAGGCAAAAGUCAGGUAUUGGGUCUAGGUAAGGUUGCGAUCUCAAAGGAUCGACACAUGGACAAAGUCAUGCUUGUCGAGUCCUUAGGAUACAACCUCAUGUCUGUCUCAAUGCUUUGUGAUCUCGAUAUGGUUGUUGUCUUUGGAAAAUAUUGUUGUGUUGUGAUCAUGGAAGCUGACCAUUCCAAAGUCUUCGAAGGCUUUAGGAGAGGAGAUUUGUAUAUCGUUGAUUUCUCUACAGGACCACAUCCAGCCAUAUGCUUACUUGCAAAAGCUUCAGAAGGCUGGCUAUGGCAUCGACGACUUGGUCAUGCUGUAUAUCGUUGAUUUCUCUAUAGGACCACAUCCAGCCGUAUGCUUACUUGCAAAAGCUUCAGAAGGCUGGCUAUGGCAUCGAUGACUUGGUCAUGCUGGCAUGAGGAAUCUACACACGCUUGUGAAGAAGAAGCAUGUCAUUGGCAUUGAGAAUGUCAAAUUCCUCAAGGAUCACUUAUGCGAAGCCUAUGAAGCUGGAAAGAUGACAAAGGCCAAGCAUCCAGCAAAUACUAUCAUGACCACCACUCGACCAUUUGAAUUGCUUCACAUGGAUCUCUCUGGUCCUAAUCAUUAUUCUGCAAUUCUAAAUGAUGCAACUCAAUAUGGCUUUGUUAUUGUUGAUGAUUUUUCUCGUUACACAUGGGUGCACAUUGUCACUUACAAACAUGAAGUGCAGGAAGUCUUCAAACAAUUUUCCUCGAGGGCUUCAACCAACUUUGGUGUGAAGAUCAAGCACAUCAGAACUGACAAUGGGACCGAGUUGAAGAAUUCUGGUCUUGAUGGCUAUCUUGAUGAACUUGGUAUUACUCAUGAGUUAUCUGCUCCUUAUACUCCUCAGCAGAAUGGUGUCGUGGAGCGCAAGAACAUAACCCUUGCUGAAAUGGCUCGCACUAUGCUUGAUGAAUACAAAACACCUCGUCAUUUCUGGAUUGAUGCAAUCGAUACUGCAUGCCACAUCAUCAACAGGGUAUAUCUUCACAAAUUCUUCAAGGAAACUGCUUAUGAACUCCUCACUGACAAAAAGCCCAAUGUGAGUUAUUUCAAAGUCUUCGAUGCUAAAUGUUGGAUUAGAGAUCCUCAUCACACUUCCAAAUUCUCACCGAAAGCACAUGAAGGUUUUAUGCUUGGUUAUGGAAAGGACUCUCACGCCUACAGAGUCUUCAACAACGUUCUUCACAAAGUUGUUGAAACUGUAGAUGUGCAGUUUGAUGAAACUAAUGGCUCGCAAAGAGAGCACCUACCUUCUGUGAUAGAUGAACCAGCACCUGAGGAUUCUAUCAAGUUCAAGGCUACUGAGGAUGUCAUUCCUACCGAAGAAUCUGCUGAAGACUUUAUCCCAGAUCAUGAUGAACGCCGGGCUGACGCACCUGAAGAAAAUGGUGCUGAAGAAAAUGCUCCUGAAGGGAAGGCGGAUCAAAUUCCUCAAAGACAACCCGCUCAUCCUCGCAUUGCAAACGAAGUGAAAAUCGAGAAGAUCAUUGAUGACAUUGAAGCACCAGGUCCUCUCACUCUCUCAAAAUCUUCACAUUUAUCUAACUUUUGUGGGUGCUUUGCUUUUGUCUCUAUCAUAGAGCCCACUAAGGUAGAUGAAGCAUUUUUGGAGCCUGAGUUGAUUCAAGCUAUGCAAGAAGAAUUACAUCAGUUCGAGCUCAACAACGUCUGGGAACUGGUCAAUCGUCCAGAUCCUCGCAAGCACAACAUCAUUGGCACAAAAUGGAUCUACCACAACAAGCAAGAUGAAAAUGUCCUUGUGGUGAGGAAUAAGGCACGGCUUGUAGCUCAAGGCUACACACAGGUUGAAGGAACUGAUUUCGAUGAAACUUUUGCACCUGUUGCUAGACUUGAGGCUAUUCGCUUAUUACUUGCUUACGCUAACCAUCAUAAUAUCACAUUAUAUCAAAUGGAUGUGAAAAGUGCAUUCCUCAAUGGUAAGCUUGAGGAAGAAGUAUAUGUUUCUCAACUACCAGGUUUUGAAGAUCCAAAGCAUCCUGACAAAGUCUUCAGACUCAACAAGGCCCUGUAUGGCCUCAAGCAAGCCCCUCGGGCGUGGUAUGAUACUUUGAAGGAAUUCCUCAUGAAAAAAGGCUUCAAACCUGGUUCACUCGACCCAACUCUUUUCAGUAAAUCUUAUGAUGAUGAAUUGUUUGUGUGCCAAAUAUAUGUUGAUGAUAUUAUCUUUGGUUGUACUGACCAACAUUAUAGUGAUGAAUUUGCCUAUAUAAUGAGUGAAGAAUAUCAAAUGUCUAUGAUGGGAGAAUUGAAAUUCUUUUUAGGUCUUCAAAUUUGUCAACAGCGCAACGGCAUAUUCAUAUCUCAGGAGAAAUACCUCAAAGAUGUAUUGAGGAAAUUCAGCAUGCAAGACUGCAAAGGGGUCAAAAUUCCAAUGCCCACAAGUUGCCAACUGUGCACUGAUGAACAUGGUAUAGACUUCGAUCAAAAGGUAUAUCGCUCCAUGAUUGGCUCUUUAUUGUACCUAUGUGCAUCUAGGCCAGAUAUUAUACUUAGUGUUUGCAUGUGUGCCCGAUCUCAAGCUACCCCGAAGGAAUCACGCCAUAAGGCUGUGAAGCAUAAUCUUCGAUAUCUAGCUCACACACCAACACUUGGAUUAUGGUAUCCCAAGGGCUCGGCUUUUGAUCUCGUUGGAUAUUCAGACUCUGACUAUGCUGGUGACCGUGUGGACCGCAAGUCAACGUUAGGCACAUGUCAUUUCCUUGGACGAUCUUUGGUCUGUUGGUCCUUGAAGAAACAGAACUGCGUAUCACUAUCUACAGCUGAGGCUGAGUACAUUGCUGCUGGUUCUUGCCGUGCUCAACUGCUAUGGAUGAAGCAAACUCUCAAGGACUACGGUGUCAACAUGAAGAAUGUGCCUCUCUACUGCGACAAUGAGAGCGCUAUCAAGAUUGCUCACAACCCAGUUCAGCACUCGAAGACAAAGCACAUUCAGAUUCGUCAUCAUUUUCUUCACGAUCAUGUGUUGAAGGGCGACAUCUCCAUUGAGCAUGUACGGACUGAAGAACAGCUAGCCGAUAUCUUCACAAAGCCCUUGGAUGAGAAGAGAUUUAGCAAGUUGCGGUGUGAGCUAAAUAUCCUAGAAUCUUCGAAUGUUCUCUGAAAUGGACACUCAUCCUAACACUUAUGCUGACUUGAUGACUUGGAUGCGCAACACACAAAGUAACAUUUUUCUUCAAUCAAUGAAGACUAACCCUCUAAGUGUGAAGAAAUUAAUGAAGAAAUUGACUCUCAGAGCCCUAUGACAAUUGUACGCGGUGUCUGAAGUCAGCUUUCUUAUACGGUGGGUUAAGCCACCACCAAAAGUUGAAAAUCUUCAAUUUGAGUUUUUCCUCAAAUUUUUGAAAAUCCUCAGUUCUUUUCAAAUUCUUCAACUUGCAUUGUCUUCACUCCUUCCGUCGUUUUUCUUCAUUGGUUUAUAUAUAUAUGAGUUUAUGUCCUCUACAACAUUCACUUAUUGCUAAUUCUUCAAGCUAAUUUUUCUGCUAAGUGAAUGUGAUCGGACCCUUCCCCCUCUAUGCUAAACUCAACCUAGUCUGUUCACAAAUUCUUCAUAUGCGUUCUAAUUGAAACUCGUUCAAAAUAUUCACUGUUUCCUUGACAGCUAAAGAAAUUAUGAACGAAACCUAAACUAAUCUUAUCUGAAUUUUGGGCUUUGCCGCUCAAACCGUUCCGCAUCCCAUGACAAUGCUCAUCUAUUCACCCACGAUCCUACAUGAUCGCCACCUCACAGUACGUGGGUGACACAUGUCAAACGAAUGAGAAGGGCCAGGGGCACGUUCGUCCGAAUUCUUCGGGCGUACAAUUUUUCACUCUCACUAUAAAUACCCCUGCUUCUUCUUCACUUCAUUUUUACUCCGCUCGCUCUCACUCACACUCGAGCUUUCCAAACCCUAGCGCCGCCGCUACUUCAUCAUCGCCGAUGAGGAAGAGCUUCACUGCCUUGACCUCGUCACCGUCGUACUCGCGUCGGUUGCGGAUUUCUUCACUCCGCCACCGCCGUAGCCGUCUUCCUUUGCCGAGUUAGGGCGUGGAAGAUUUGAACUGACGAACUUCACAUCUACACUUCCCAGUUCGUCAUGUUCUUCAUCAAGGGGUAAUUAAAAGUUACUUUUACUGCCCUCUUUGAUUCAUGUGUUUUUCUUGAAAAUCUUCAAAAGUGUUUAUUCUUCAAAUCUUCACACACUAAACACCUCACAUGUUAUCUGCUCUUGAUUCGUUUCUCUAAGCGAUGAUUUUCUUCAAGAUUCCUCAAUUGUGUGGAUUUUCAAUCUAUACAACUCUGGAACCUAAGAUUAAGAACACUUAGUGAAAUUCUUCAAGACUCAUCUGGUCAAAUUCCUCAAACCUAAUCCUUUUUAAAACCUUCUGAGAACACAUAUGACCUCUCCAAAUUCCCCGCAACUAUACUCUGUUCACAUGUACUCAUGUCCGCUGCUGAAUCUCUAGGUUCUCAUCAACUUAACUCAUUUGGAGCGUUCCUCGAAGAAAAGUUGCAUACCUCUUCAGAAACUUCAGUUGUUCAUAUUCCUCAGCUGAAGAAAAUGGCUGAUAAGAAGCCACAGAAGGGAGGAAAGAGGCCUGAGGUCAAUACUGCCUUCGAAAUCCCUGAGGACAUUUAUGCUGGGUACUACACACCCCCUGUCGGUGUCAAAACCGGCGGAUCUCAGGUAGGGGGUCCCGAUCUGUGCGUCUUAGGCUGAUGGUAACAGGAAGCAAGGUACACAAUGUUUACCCAGGUUCGGGCCCUCUCGAUGGAGGUAAAACCCUACUUCCUGCUUGAUUAAUAUUGAAGAUAUGUGGAAUACAAGAGUAGAUCUACCACGAGAUCAUAGAGGCUAAACCCUAAGAGCUAGCCUAUGAUGGUAUGAUUGUAAUUGUGAUCGGCCUUCUAAGGACCAUGCUCUCCGGUUUAUAUAGACACCGGAGAGCUAGGGUUUACAUGGAGUCGGUUACAAGGAAGGAAACAUAAUAUCCGGAUUGCCAAGCUUGUCUUCCACGCAAAGGAGAGUCCCAUACGGACACGAGCCGAAGUCUUGAGUCUUGUAUCUUGACGCUUCUAUAGUCCGGACGAUGUAUAUAGUCCGGCUGUCCGGAUACCCCCUUAUCCAGGACUCCCUCAGUAGCCCCUGAACCAGGCUUCAAUGACGAUGAGUCCGACGCGCAGUCUUGUCUUCAGCAUUGCAAGGCGGGUUCCUCCUUCGAAUACUCCAAGGUGAUUAUCGAACACGUACGUUGUGUCCGAAUCUGCAAGAUGAUCUUCACACACCCUUAACAUAAAUCCGUUCUGCUGGCAAUCUUUGUAUGUCGUGCCCUUGCAUUGUGACCUGGUUCAACAUGAACCAGCGUUUCCUGCUCCACCUCGACUCGCGUUGUGAGGUGGUUUUAUCGGCACGUCCUGCCAAAGCAGAGAUCGUGUCCCUCUUAAUACGGGAUCUUUCAUCAAUAUGGCCAUAUGAGACCCCAUGGCGACUGUUGGUAUAAUCCCGUGUUUCAUUUUAGAUAAGUCUCAAGCGGUCACGCUAAGGACUCUUGGUAUUCAUCCCUUUUAUAAAGGGGUCGAGGCCUACUCCUCGUCUCCACCUCUCUUGCUCCUUCUCAUACCUCGAGCUCCAUCGCCCAAAGCCUAAGCUCCAACACCCCAGAUCCUCCAAUAUGUCCGGAUCCGACGCAACAGGCCGGUGGGUGGCCUCCUCGAUUCAGGAGGAGGAUAUUGAGAAGCUUAGGGAGGUUGGAUACCUAACUGUCGAUAUCCAGCACAGGCUUCCUGGUCCGGGGCAAGUCAUCCGCACGCCGGAGCCCAAUGAGAGCAUCGUGUUUACUCCUCACUUCCUCCGAGGCCUAGGCCUCAUCCUCGACCCCUUUGUGAGGGGGCUUAUGUUCUACUAUGGCUUGGACUUCCAUGAUCUGGCUCCAGACGCCAUUCUCCAUAUCUCGUCUUUCAUUAUCAUGUGCGAGGCUUUUCUCCACGUCAACCCACACUUCGGCUUAUGGCUAAAGACCUUCACUGUGAAGCCGAAGAUGAUCGAGGGGCGACAUGCGGAGUGCGGAGGCGCCAUAAUAAGCAGGAACGCCAAUGCCCCACGGCCAGAGGGUUCUUUUCUGGAAGUGUCCGACGUAUGGCAACGGAGAUGGUUCUAUGUCACCGCUCCCAGAGGCACAAAGUGGGUAGCUACCCCCGAGUUCCGCUCAGGCCCUCCAUCACAGUUGGCGUCUUGGACCGAUGUGGGACGGAGUUAUGGGCCUGCUGGCGAUGUACCAGAACUGCAGAAUCGCAUCCGGGAGCUUAUUAGGAGGGACAUAAAUCUUGUCAGCAUAAUUCAAGUAAUGCUAGUCCGGCGGAUAUUGCCGUGCAAACGUCGGCCUCUCCGUAUGUGGGAGUUUAAUCCGGAAGGUCCGCGUACUAUUAAGCACUUCUUCGGGUUGACGCUCGAAGGAAUGUGUAAACUAUUCUUCGGACCACAAGCAAAGUGUCCAGACACCAUCGAGGAUGUGGGCCUAAGCUGCAAUCGCCUAGAUGCCCAAGUAAGCAACCUUAAAGCCGGAUACUUCAUUUAUAUUUAUCACGAUUAUUAUUCUAACACCCCCUCCGCGACUAGGAAUGGCUCGACAAGGCAAAGAGAAUCAGGUGUCCGACGCCACUUCCUGAAGGCCCGCCUGGUCCAACCAUUGCAAAGAUGCUGGACCGGGCGCUCAGUAAAAUCCCUUCAGGGAAAGGCGAAGGAAAUGGCAGUGAAGCUAAACUUCAUGUGCUGCGCAUCCAGACCGGGGAAAUUGCUAACCCUCCUAUGGAGGAUAGCUGGGAAGGGAAGGUCAAAGCCUCCUCCCCACGUGGGAAGAAGAGGGCCGCCUCCGAAGAUUUGGAGGCGGAGACGCCCAAGCAAGGGAAGAAAACAUCACCAAGGGGCUCUGCCGCGACGGGCACCCUCACCACGCCAUGCCCACCAAUGGGCCAGCCCUCCAACGAGCUGUAAGUCAUUCAUUAAUUCAAAGGUGAGAUGUUACUCCGAAAUCCAUAACCAGGACUUUAUUUUUUUGUAGUCCGGCGAGCAACUCUUCUCAACAGAGUUCGUCUUCGGGGGACCUUUAUCUAGAGAUGAUGGAGAGUGAAACGCCACCCAACUCUCCGCCUCAUGAGGCGGGCGACAGAGAGGUGUCGUCAUGGAGGGGUCCGGAUAUACCGAAGCCGGAGGCUAGUACGUCAGCCGCCAAGAGCCCGGAGCAUUUGGCUCCCACAGGGGGCGAUGAGAAGGGUGCAGCGCAGUUUAGUGUCCGGCCGGACGUACCGAUGGGCCGUCUGGAGCGAGCCGCGCUCUCGUAGGAGCACCGCUCUUUAAUGAGCACGGUUCUCACGAAGAUUUCAUCCGCUACCAGCGGCUUGAAUGAGGCAUUUACAAGCCUGCUCAAAGGCUUUGAGGUAUGUAGUGAAAAAUGCACAACUUUUUGGUUAUGAAGCACGCACUAGGUGUGCUCCCUAUAGAUAGUAGCCCCUAGACUCUGGUUGCGCGCCAUAGGCGGCAAACGGGGGAUCAUAUACUAAUGGUUGCACCGUACAUGUGCGCAGGUAUACAAGGGUCCGGCAACCGACCAGUCUGUUGAAGUUGCCGAGCUAAGGAGGCAAAUCGGAUCCAUCGAUGCCGAUAUCACGCUGGUGAAUAAAUGGCUUGAGGAAUCCGAGGGUAUUUGCUUGGUUUUUAUUAUAAUGUACAGGAAAAUGCCAAAGAGGCAUAAUAUUAAUUCAAUAUGUGUGCACUACAGAUGGUGCUGCUGCCGUGGAGGCCCUAAGGGCGGAACUUGCUCAAGCCAAGGAACAAGCUCGGGCUAGCAAUGCGGCUGCCCUAAAGGCGGCCGAAGAGUUGAGAGCCGAACAGGCUGCUCGUCGCCGAAGCGAGGAAAAGAUAGCCGAAAUGGCUGAAGAGUUAAAAAAUGCCGCAGACCGGUACACACUCCUUGAAAAGGAGGACAAGGCUAGUUCGGCCGAGCUGGACAAGGCACGUAAUGCCGCCAAGGAGAUGCGUACCGAGAUCUGAAGUAUGCGGGAGGAGCUCCAACAAGCUGACAAAAUCAUGGCUAGGGGCUCGUACUUACUGCGGACGAAGUUCUUGGAUCCGAAGUAUGCUCCCUUGGCGGGUCGCAUGAGUCCUGCAGACGCAUAUGCGGACUUGGCGAAUAGUACAGCUGACAUUGUCAAGUUCUUCGAGGGUCAAGGCGAUGAAGAAGUGGAGAAGCUUUUCUGGUCGCAGUUUAAUGCUCCCACUCGCCCGCUGCCACUGAAUGAGAAGGUGGCUGCU